Molecule: long non-coding RNA, 45471 nt
Filed under: Erythranthe guttata (spotted monkey flower)
Lineage: Eukaryota; Viridiplantae; Streptophyta; Magnoliopsida; Lamiales; Phrymaceae
Description: long non-coding RNA (EGUT_LNC000831)
Source: RNAcentral
CUCGACGACAACCUAAAACCCUACAUCUCCGGUUUUGGACUAUCCCGCCUUGAUCCGAAGCAAAUUCCGAACCAAGGUAUCGUGGGCCCCACCAAAAGCUCACUCCUCGCCUACGUGGCGCCCGAAGCUCGAGCCGCGGGGUCGAGGCUCACACAGAAAUGCGAUGUCUAUUCUUUUGGUAUCUUGCUUCUAGAAAUGCUCACCGGUCAACUCCCGGUCAACUACAAGAACGACGGUGGUGAUUGUAAGGGGAUCGAGGGAUUGGUGAGGAAAGCGUUUAGUGAGAAAAGACCUUUGUCGGAGAUUAUAGACCCGUCUCUAUUGCAUGAAGCUCGUGCGAAGAAACAAGUUGUUGCUACGUUUUAUGUUGCGUUGAAUUGUACGGAAUUCGAUCCGGAAUUGAGGCCGAAGAUGAGGUCUGUUUCCGAUAAUCUUGAUCGAAUCAAACUGCAAUGAACGAGCUAGCUAGGUAUAAUGAAAAUGAAUUAGAUGUGUUAUGUUGUUAAUUUAGAAAUAGAAUCUAUAAAAUGGUGGGAUUUGUAAGAUUAUGAUUUUUUUUUUCUUUUUCUUUUUUCUCGAAUAAUUUCUAUGAUUUAAUUUUAAAGAGCAAUAAAUUCGGAAUGCGCAAAUAAAUUUGAAGAAAAUUCAAAAACAAAAAAUGAGUGUAUAUGGAUAAAAUCCCAAUUGUAAUUUCAACGAAUUUGUUGGGUAAAUUACAAACACCCCCCUGAGGUAUGACCAAAUUACAAAAACACCCCUCUUGUUUGGAUAAUUACAACCACCCCCCUCAACUCAUCAAAUUUAGUGGAAUCUUCGAGAUUAUAUGGAAUAUUAUCACUUUUGUACCCGUUUUAUCUCAUUCAAACUUUACAUUAUGAAGCAAGAUGACCAUAAUAUGUGAUUUUUAGCUUGUACAUAUCAGUUUGUGGUGCAUCGAAAACUGUAUUUUUUACACAAAGAGUACAAACUAGAGCACAUUUCACGGAAUCUAGAUGACUAUGUUGAAUUUGGCACCAUAAAGGUAAGAAAAAAUCAUAGUUGAGGGGGGUAAAUGUAAUUAUCCAAACAAGAGGGGGUUUUUUGUAAUUUAACCAUACCUCAGGGGGUGUUUGUAAUUUACCCCGAAUUUGUUUUAUUAAAAAUUGAAAAAUUUAAUCAAAAUAGAAAAAAAUCAAAAAAUUAUCAUAAAUGAAAAGAUGAUAAGUUGUCUGCCUCCAUAUAUUCGAUCAACAAGAAUUUAUGUUUCCUUAUCCAAAUUACAAUUAUUGGGCAUCUAAUUCGAAUUGUAUAACUCUCAACUGUUACACGUUUCAAUUUUAUUUUAUUUUAAUUUUUUUCAAUUUUAAUUUUAUUAUUAUCUUAGAUUAGUAUUUACAUGAAAAAAAAAAUGAAGAAUAUGGUAUCAAAUUCUAAUCCAAUAAAAAGCUUCAAGUACAAGCAAUUGACAUAUAAUUGUUCUGUCUCACUUAUUACGUAUGUCUCGAUCGUACUUUGCACCAACUUACAUUCUCGGAAUAAUUUUAAUUUUAUCCCUCCGAUCCGGAGUUGUCCUAAUACUAUUCCAAUUUAAUGCCUUAUCUACUUGAAUUGAAUCUCACCAGAUUCGUAAAUACUAAUCCACAUAUUCUGCUAAUUAAUUCAUGUUCUUUAAUUAUAUUCUUUGUUCUAUUUGUUCUCCAACCAAUAUUAAAAUUCAAUAUCUUCUAAAUAAAUUGUCAAUGCCAUUUCUCUAUUAUUUGAAUUAUUCGAAUAAAUUGGCAAAAUUGGGUGGAGUGAGUGAUGUCAUGGUCUGCAGUGGGGGACUGAUUUCCACAGUGUUUGUGAAUCUGAUGCGCAGUUAUAUUAUAAUUAUUUUCUUAUUUUAAAAAAAAAUUAUUAUUUUUUGUCGUGGCUGUUUUUUUUUUUCCGAAAUUGUGGAAAUGCUACACCGAGUCACAUACACUGGGUAAGUUUUAACCAUUGAUGUGUUUAAAUAACCAUCACUAAGCACACAUAGUGUGUUUGAUUAUGUGCCGAUCAACAGUUAAUUAUUGUAAAAACAAAACCAUAUUUAAUUCAAAUAUUACUAAGAAAAAACAUUACCAAGUACAAAGAAAACCCUAUUCUUUUUUUUACAUUAAAGUGGGAAUUUGAAGGAAAAAAAUAUAUAAACUUUCAUAUAAAUAAUAUGCACUUAAUUUCUAUAUAGGUUCAAUUUAAUUCAAGAAACUUAAUUCCCACUUGCAUAUAAUAUAAAUCAAAAUAAAAACGUGUAGCAACAUCAGAAGUGUCACUCUGUACUUAGAUAUUUUUUGUUUAUUAAUAAUCCUCUGAAAUUUCCCUAAAAUGGCAAAUAUUUUGUACCAUACUUCCACCUCCCAUAAUACCUCAAAGAAGAAAAAAACUAUAAAGUAAAAAAAGCCUGCAAAUAAAACCUCAUUUACCAAUUUGCUUCCUAAAUCAAAAAAAAAAAAAAAAAGAAAACCCUAGUGAGAGUAAUCAAGAAAAUUCUAUCAAGACUCAGAUCUUUUGUUUUUCUUGCUUCAAGAACAAGAUUUCUUCAACCCCAACUGCUUAAAUAACAAGCUUGUUUCCAGUUUCCUUGUCACAAAGACUUACCAAAAAAAAAAAAGUUUUUUUUUUUUUAAUUUUUAUUUAUUUGAAUUUAUUCGGAAGCAUUGUUAUCAACUGUGAAUUCGAUGCCUAAUAAUAUAUUUGCCACCAUAAAUCCAAACCCUAGAGGAGAACACCACCACUUUCCAUUAAUGGAAUCCCAAAAUAAUUCUGGGCUGCUGAGAUUUAGGUCUGCUCCCACUUCUUUUCUUGCAGAUUUGGCUGAAAAGAGUGCUCAUGUAAUGGAUAUUAAUAUUGAUGAUAAUAAUAGUUGUAAUAAGGGUGUUUCUGGUAAUUAUACUAGAUUUCCUGCUGCCAUGAAUUCACAGCUGCCACCUCAGUAUCCAAGGCAUCAAAGUGGCGGCGGCGGCGGUGGUGGUGAAUUAGGGUCUUUGUCGGUGGGUGGUGGUGGUGGUGGUGGUGGAUUUGGUCUUGUCAGGCAGAAUAGCUCACCUGCUGGAUUGCUCUCUCAAAAUGGUAUUUUUUUUUAUUGUUAUUUUAUUUAAAAAAAAAUCAAUUUAUUUGUAGUGAUUAAUUUGCCAUCUUUUUUUUUUCUCAAUUCAGUAUGUAAUUAAUAAAUUUUGGUGCCCUUUUUAGUAUGUGUCUAAUUGAAUUUUGUAGUGAUUCUUAGUUUUUGGAUAUUUAAUUUAAUUUAAUUAUAUUAGUUUGCUAGAUUUUGUUCUUCCCCUAUUUUAUUUCUAAAGGAAUAUCAAUAUUUAAAAAAAAAAAAAAAAUCAAGAAACUCUCUUUUUGUUUAUCUUGAUUUUUGAAACUUUGCGAUUUCGAAAUGUAUUUAUUUCUUACAAUAAAUGAUCGGCGAAUUACAGGCUACGCCGGGGUAAGAAAUCACACGAACUUCCCAUCCGUGACGCCGUCGUCAUCUCCCUUGGGAUUAUUGUCUCGAAUCAAAGAGGUCGAAAACGAACACGGCGGGCCCCACAGCCCACAUUACACAAAGGUGGGAAAUAGCGGUGGUGACAAUUUAUUUUCCACUACUUCUGGAUUCCCAUUUGCUUCUUGGAACGACUCUUCGUAUUUUGCAGAAACGAACUUCACCAGUGGCAUCAAAACGGAGGUGGAUAACGAUCCCAAGCCAAUUUUUAUUACCGAGGUAAAAUAAUAUUGAAAACAAUAAUUUAAAUUUAAUCUUCGACAUGCAAUAUUAUUAUUGGGAUAUCGAAUUGAUUGGAUUAUAUGUGUUAAUUAAAAAAAAAAACAGAACGAGGAGCUUAUAAGAAAUAGGCCGUAUAGUUUGUCGCACCACUUAAGCCUACCCAAGACUAAUUCGUCGGAAAUUGCAAAUAUGGAGAAGCUGUUAAUGCUUCAAGAUUCCGUUCCGUGCAAGAUUCGUGCAAAGCGCGGCUGUGCUACUCAUCCACGGAGUAUUGCCGAGAGGGUAAAAUCGUCAAUUUAACUAGUUCGUAAUUUUAUUUUGAAUAGCAAGGCAAGCUCCACUAAUUGGAAUAGUUUAUGGUAUAGUACAGGUGAGAAGAACUAGAAUUAGUGAAAGAAUGAGGAAAUUGCAGGAGCUUGUUCCAAACAUGGAUAAGGUAAUAUAUAUAAUUAUAUAAUUAUAUUAUAUAUUAUAUAUACUAAGAAAAUUAUAUAAAUGUUUCUUGAAAAAAUAAGGUUUAUUGUUUUGGCAUAUGCAGCAAACCAACACAGCAGAUAUGUUAGAUUUGGCUGUGGACUACAUUAAAAGCCUACAAAAACAGUACAAGGUAUGUAUAUAAGUGAACCUCGAUAAAUUAAUAACCUCGUUUAAAUGAUAAUUUCUUCUGUUCCCGAGUUAGUAAAAAUAUAUUAAAUUAUUAACUCGAUAAUUUAAUAUUUCGCUAAAUUAAUAGAAUUUUGCUAGUCCCGAAUGUAUUAAUUUAUAGAGGUUUAACAGUAUAGUAUUUUUUUUUUUUUUGUUUUUUUGUGGAAUUGAUUGAUUAAUUUUCUCGUUAAUUAAAACGCAGAUACUUGGCGAUAGUCGAGCAAAUUGCAAAUGCUCGGCUUCUCAGAAGGUAAUUUUAAAUCAAACACACUGAUCGACUUCUCGCGCCCGUAAUCGAGAAAAAUCGAGGAGAUGAAGAAGAAAAUAUUAGUUACAUUAGGAUAUGUAUAUCCAACUCUGUAUAGGGGGUGUGAACAAUUACAUUUUCUUAUUGUAUGGAAUAUAGUUCAUAAUUAUUAUUAAUUAAUUAUAUGAUCUAGUUAAAUUACGCCGUAUUUAUUUUAUUUUGUUUUAAUUUAUUUAAGAUAUUUACUUGGGCCUACCUAAAACCAUUAUUUCACUUUAUACUAGAGUUUCGAAAUUGGCCCACCAAAGAUGCUGAUGUUUGGAAUUUGUUAUGUAUCUUAUAUUUUAUAUAUAUAUAUAUAUAUAUAUAUAUAUUACAAAACUAUAAAGAUGUAGGCCUCAAAUGAACAGUGCAAUAAUAUUACAUUUCUAAUUAUUUUAACACAAAACGCACACAAAACGACGUCGUUUAAUCGGAAAAAAAUCCAAAUUAAGCGUAGACGCCUUUUCUUUUCCAAUUUCUUUUGCUGCUCAAAUUUAUGGUCCGCCCAUAUCCGUGGGCCCUUCUCUUAAUAUUUCCAGUAUUUUCCAUUUUUCUUUAACAAACUCACGCGAGUUGUGUUCAUUUACACGCGCUUGCUUUCGGCGGUUGUCAGUCUGCUUCUGCGUUCUCUCGCUUGUCAAUCCCACCUUGACGUUUGUAGCUUCCGGUGUAGCCUGUGGGACGUGGGUUUACACAAUCUUUAUCGUCUCAUUUCUCUUUCCAAUUUUACAUUCUCCGGAGGCCAUUUCAGUACCCAACUAAAGGAAAACCCUAAAAAUUGCACUCUCAAAGCAAACCGCCCGCAAAUCAUCAGUCAUUCGAUGUAUUUUUUGCACAUCCGAUGGAGGUUUUCAAUCCCCAUCUCUGUUUCGUGAGUACAACAACAACAAAAUAGGGGUUUUCUAACCUUUUUACGCCGAUGCCGAAAACUGCCGAGGUUGGAGUCGACCGGAGCUCGUGAAUGGGAAUUAGGAUUCUCAGCCAUUAGGUUCUUCGUUUCCUCCAAAUUAAAGCUGAGAAUAGGAAUCCUAAAUUUUUUAGAAGACCCAUUCUGCAGGGAAUAAGUGCAGAAUAGGAAGCUUUAAUUUGACCAGCCAUUUUACAUUCUUUCUCCAUAAAGAUGUUGUUCUUCUCGCUUCUCAGGUUUUAAUUUUAUGUUUUCUUUUAUUACUAUUUCUGUUUUUGGUUUAUUGCAUUUAGCACCCCUGAACCCUGCAUUUACUGUAUUUACUUUAAUUGUGACAAAGCUCCUCAUAUUAUAAAUAUUAGCAAAAACUCCCCUAUUGUGCAAUUUUUUAGCUGACUAUGGCUUUUUUGUUAAUAUUUAUAACACAGUGAGUUUUUCAGCAAAUUCGACAUAACACAGUGAGUUUUUGUUAAUAUUUAUAACACAGUGAGUUUCAGCAAUUUUUUAGCUGACUAUGGCUUUUUUGUUAAUAUUUAUAACACAGUGAGUUUUUCAGCAAAUUCGACAUAAUGCAGAGUACUAAAUACAAAUUAUUUAUGUUUUUCAGUUAGAUGUCCCUUUCUUCUUCUGGAAAUUUAACUAUAGUUUUUUUGUUUUAUAUAAGCCUCAUCUUUGGUAUCAACCUAAUUGAUGUAGUUAUUACAGGUCAAUUUUUUUUCUUAAAAAAGAUGGUUGUAUGUAUUUAUAUAAUAUAAUAAUCUUUGUCAAAAAAUUGUGGUAUUUGAAUUAUUAAUUUUUUACCUGAUUUUCUUUUCAGGGGAUGAUGGCACCAUUAAUGGGCAUGGUGAAUCCUGGUUGAAGAAAUUCCAAAAGGGAGAUUCACAGUUAACUAGACUUUAUUUAAUUGAAAUAAUGUACUCUGUAAAUGUCCAAAUAUCAAAUUUUUUUUUUUUUUGAGAUGAAACCAAAUAUCAAAUUUAACACUUGUUAAUUCACCAUCAUGGAAUGUUCAUCCUGUACUAUGUGUCUUUGUAAUUACUAUGCUUAUAGGUUUGGAUUGUUUAUUGAUAAUUAUGUUUUUGUUUAUAAGAGUUGGUUCCAUGGAGCACUUGCUAAUUUUCAUUUAAUUAUGUGUUUUUAUUUUGUUGUUUAUGUCUCUUUGAUGCAUACUAGAGUAUUGUUCUCUUUUGUAUAACAAUCGAAUUAAUUCAGCUAUACAGGGCAUUAUAUACCGCGCGUGGCGCGGUGUGGCCUCACUAGUAUAUAUAUAUAUAUAUAUAUAUAUAUAUAUAUAUAUAAUAAUGUAUAUAUUUAUAAUAUGUUGCCCAUCAUCUGUCACACCUCCCAACAUCCUUUGAUAAUAUUUAUUACUAUUUGUCUAGAUCAUGAAGAAAAAAACAAUUAUUUAUUAAAUUAUUCAGUAAACGAAAUAUACACUUAAUAUUUAUUAUUUAAUUAUUAAUUUUAUUAAAUAUAAAUUGAUAAUUUUAAAUUCGUAACAUAUAAUACAUAUAAUUUGUUUAUCUAUUUAAAGUGAAGGAAAAAGUGUGACAAGUUGUUGAAAAAAAUGGCAUGAAUGUAAAUGGUUUUAGAUUUACUCAAAAGAAAAAGAUAAAUGAUUUGAGAUAAGUAUAAAAAUAAAAUAAAAAUAAUAACAAUAAUAAUAAAUUGAAAGUGAGAAUUGGUCAAAAUAAAAAUGAUUAUAGACAUGAAAAAAGUAGUGGUAGAGGAGAAAAUUGGACCACUUUAAUUGAAUGAAUUGGGCUUUUCUUAGUUAGUUACACGGGCUUCCUCAUCUUACACGAGUGAGUUCACGUGCUUUCCCGAAAAAUAUCUAUUACUAAACGACACCGUUUUGGUUUUUUGGUUACGAAUUUACUCAUAAAGUCAUUAAUUACUAGCUAUAUUAUAUAUAACUCUAGUCAAAUAGUCUCUCGAGUCUCCAUGUCAUUUUUAUUUAUCAUUUAAGAUUAACAUAUUUAUCAAAUAGUAAAUUUUAUUAAGGAAAAAUUGGCUCAUAUUCCCUCAAAAUUAUUUUUUUAUAGUUUAAAAGAUACGUGAUAUUUUGUUAUUUGUUAAAUGUCUUUUUUGAGAGCUUACUUAAAAAGCGUAAACUAAAUAUUACAAGUAAAGCUUGAUUACAAAAUUUAGUGAGAGCUUAGUUACUUAACUUAGUUACGUUCGGUGAUUCUAUGUGUAUGUGUGUUAGUGUGUGUGUGUGUGUGCGCGUGCGUUACUCUGUGUGGUUUGUGUGCUCGUGUGCGCGUGCGUUACUAUGUAUUGUUUGUGUGCUCGUAUGUGUCAUUAUGUAUGGAAGAUCAAUUUCGAUGAUGACAACGAUGGGGAGGAUAGACAUGUGGGAUAAAAUAUGAACAAGAGACUUUUAACAAAAUGUCGAAAUCUGAUUGUCCUUAUUUAAAAGAUUAUUAGUGUACACGGAUGUUUAGCAAAUUGCCCGUAUUAAUAGCCAUUAUGGUAAAAUUAUCUUAUCGAUGCUCUAAGCUAAUCUUUAAUCACUCAUGCACUCUCUCUAGUCUCUAUGAGAUUUCAUUUUGAUUUUUUAAAUGUGUAUUUAAUAAAUUAUUUUAUAAGGUGAAUUAAAAAAACAUAACAUUAUAAUUGUAGACGUAGUAGGGAUCACUAUUUAACGGCCGGCCCGAAACUAAUUAAGAAUUCAAACCGGACUCAUGGGCCCAUGGGAGCCCCGUUCUUCAUUAGCCCACCGGUUCGCAAGCUAUUUAAAUUUAUUUAUUUAUAACAAUAUAAAAUAAAAGGAAAAAAUAUAGUUUUUCUCCUCAAGUUUGCACCAAUUUCAUAUUUAAUCCCCAUAUUCACAAAUAAAAUAUAUUUGGUCCUUUAUGUAAUUAUGUUACAAAAUUCAACAUUGUUAGUCCUUUCUGUCAAUUUCCCGUUAAAACUAACGGAAUCAAGCGUGUGCCCAUUACUUCCUUAACUAAAAGACUAACGGUAAGUUGACGGAAAAGACCAAAAAUGUUAAGGCUAUGUUUGUUACGCUUCUCAAAUUCUUUUCAUUCUUUCCCCAAAAUAAAAUUAUAUUUUUUAAAUAUUUUCAAAAACUUUCCCCAAAAAAAAUUCAAAUUUUUCUCUCUCUAACAGACAUGAUUUGACUGCUACAGUGAAAAUUGCCUUCACUAAAUUAAAAACUAAAAUCACUUUAUCCUUCAAAUUCUUCUUUCAAAAUAACUUUUUCCAACACAUUUUAGACAUGAUUUGACUUGCUACAGUACAAACUGUCUCCUCUCAAAACACAAACAAACUUUAUUUUAUUUUCAAAUUCUUCUCCCAAAACAUCUUUCUCCAGAAUAAAAUGGAAAUAGAAGCCCAAAAGCUUACCAAACAUAGCCUAAGUUAUUGGAACAUGAGAGACCAAAAGUGUUUUUUUGUGAAUAUGGGGACCAAAUGUGAAAUUGCUACAAAACUUUAGGGAUGAAAAAUAUAAUUUCCUAUAAAAUAAAAUAUUGUUUAUAAAUAUGGGAAAAAUACAGUUUUCAUCCCUCAAGUUUGCACAUAUUUCAUAUUUUGUCCUCCAUGUUCACAAAAAACACAUUUAGUCCAUCAUAUUACAAUAAUAUAAUAAUUGGUCAUUUCCAUCAAUUUACCCUUAGUCCGUCCAUCAGUGAAAGGCACGUGCUUGAUUCCAUUGGUGCUAUAGGAAAUUUGACUUAAAGGACUAAAAGUGUUGAACUCUUAAAACACGAGGGACCAAAUGUGUUUUUUUGAACAUGGGAAGCCACAUGUGAAAUUAGUACAAACUUGGGGGACAAAAAUUGAAUUUUUCCCAUAUAUAAAAAAAAUGAGGAAAAAACAAAUAAAAUACGUUUCCCCAUUCCCUUUUCUCAACUGAAAAACCGUUAAUGGGUCCCGCACUUACCGUUACCUCUGCUCCUUCUUUCUCUUCGUUCCAAUUCACCGACAUUCUUCUUUCACAAAUUUCCCCAGAUUGAAAAUCUGAUCCGAACCCUAAUUGCAAUUUCCAACCCAGAUUUCGAUUCUUUCUUCUUUCUGCCCAAUAAUUCAUUCAUGCAUUUCCAGCUUUCUUAAACAUGGACGAAAUUUCUGCACAAGGAUCAUUUCGCAGUCUGCAAAUUAAAUGAUCCAUUAAUUAAGAAGAAGAAAAAAAAUCAUAUUUUGGAAGAUUUUAUGCUGCAAAAUUGGUGGAUUUGAAGAGAAUUAAAGAAAGAAUAGCGAUUGGUUGCGAGUGACGAGAUGUCUAAUUUGUAUGGUGGGGAUUUCAAUCAGAAGAUCGAUUAUGUGUUUAAGGUUGUUUUAAUCGGAGAUUCUGCCGUCGGAAAAUCCCAAUUGCUCGCUAGGUUUGCUCGUAACGAAUUCAGCCUCGAAUCGAAGGCCACCAUCGGUGUCGAAUUUCAGACCAAAACUCUCCUCAUUGAUCACAAAACUGUCAAGGCUCAGAUUUGGGACACUGCUGGUCAAGAAAGGUUUGACCCCCCUCCCCCCCCUUUUCUUUUUCUUAAUUACGAUAUUCGUUUUUAUUUCGUCGUUGUUUGUCGGUUUCAGCUAUUGCAUUUUGGGUGAAUAAAAGUUAUCUCAUGAGGUGAUCAAUCAAUAUGUUAGUAGGUAGGGAUUGAAUUAUCGAAUAUUUGAAGCUAAUGUUCGAGUCGAAUGUAAUUUUGAUUGGACAAUGUACGAGUGUUCGAAUACGUGUUUUCAACGUAUCUUUUGAUUUGAAAAGGGUCAUAUUAUCUGGAUUAUGGGGUGAAAUAUAUAUAAGUAUUAUCUGCAGUUGCUUUCCCUGCAAUUUCCAACAGUUCGACCUACCCUUUUCGAUUUUUUGUAAUCUCGUUUUCUUGGUAGGUACCGGGCGGUGACGAGUGCUUAUUACAGAGGUGCAGUGGGUGCAAUGCUGGUGUACGACAUGACAAAGCGUCAGUCUUUCGACCACAUGGCCAGGUGGCUAGAGGAGCUGAGAGGCCACGCAGACAAGAACAUAGUCAUAAUGCUUAUAGGCAACAAGUCCGAUUUAGGUACUCUUAGAGCUGUUCCGACGGAAGAUGCUCAAGAAUUCGCCGAACGAGAAAAUCUCUACUUUAUGGAAACAUCUGCACUCCAGGCAACAAAUGUCGAGAGUGCCUUUAUGACAAUUCUGACGGAAAUUUAUCGGAUUGUGAGUAAGAAGACUUUGGUUGCGGGUGACGGGUCGGAUUAUUCGAAGUCCACUUCUCUUAAGGGUACGCGGAUCAUUGUUCCGGGUCAGGAUUCUGACCCGAAUGCUAAAAAGGGCGGGUGUUGCAUAGGCUCGUGAUUCUUAAUUUUUUUUCUUAAAUUGUGAACUUCUUCACUUAUGAAUUCUACUCUGUCAUAUUAUGUUUUAGACUGAAUCUUGUGAUUGUAGAAGUAGAGUAGUAAUUUUGUUUUUAUUUUUUUUAUUUUGGAAAGCAAUAUGAAUGGGUGAUUGUGAAAUGGUUUCUUGUACCAAAUGUAGGUAGUUUUUUGUUCUGAAUUAAGUUCUACGAGAUGCUACACCCGAUGAAAUGCUCUGGUUGAUUUUAAACCGUAGAUCUAUACAAAUAACGACUUACUAAACUCACAUUCACAAGUGUGUGCGUGUUAUUAUGCGUAUACUGUAGAUAUAUGGUCUAAAAUCACCCGGUGCAUCUAACAAACCCUGAAUUGGAUUUGGCAGUUCUUUUUUUAAUUAUGGUAAGUAGUCACUAAUUGAUAAUUAGGAAUGAUUUAGGCCAAUUAAAAAAAAAUCAUGGGACUUCUUAGGUUAAUCUUAUUUCUAGAAAGAAAAUUUUGUACUGAAAAGAGCAAAAAGAAAAGUAAUGGGUAGAAAAUAGUAAUUUAUAAAACGCUUACGGUUAAUUUUACGAAUUUUUUGACAACUACAGUUACAUUUCCAGAAAAUAAAUUUCCCUUAUUUAAGCAUAAAAAAUGCCGCCCAAAAUUCCAUUUCAAAAUUGGCAAUUCACCAUUUUAAUUUUGACCUAAUUUCUUCAUCUUCUUCAUCUUCUUCACACACACUGAUACACGCACAGAGCAGAAUCAACUCCAUGGUUAUGCUGUAAACCGUUCUUCAAUUCCACGACUGAAGUCGUCAUCACAAGAAUUAAUUUCUCAAGGUAGCAAAUUUGAUUUUUCUCAUUUUAUUUGGGGAGUUUCAAUUCGGGUUACAUGUUGGUAUAAAUGGCAAUCCCUCGCCGGGAAAUGACGUCAUUUUGUAUGGGCUCUGAAAAUUCUCAAUUUUGUUUUCUUUCUGUUCUUUUAUUAACCGAGUGAAGUUGUUGAAUCAUCAAUUUGUAUAGUCAAAUUAUCAUGAAUUGUGUUUUGAAUUUUUGCAAGUGUUGUGUUAGUGUUGCAUAAUUACACUAACAUAUACUGAUAUACAUUCUUUGUUUUUUUACAUAUAGUUCAAUUCAGCACUUGUCUCGGAAGAUGUUUGAUAAAAUGCCGGAGAGAAGAGACGGAAUGCCGAGGCAAGAGGAUGUUAUAGCCACUUACAGUAACCGAAGGCCGAUUUUUAGCAGUGGUGGCAGAGAUUGUGGGAGGGUCAAUUCAUUGGGUCUUGUUCUAGAAGAUGAACCCAAGGAGGGAGUAGCUACCGAAACUCCCUUCCGGUGGAGAGGCACAGGUACGGCGGCGACACCUGGACCAAUUGGAAUAGCUUCAGGGAGGGGUAGUAUUGUAAAUCCAAGAAUUGGGAUCACAGGGAAAGAAAACUUGUCACCUAUGGUGGGAAGUGGCCGUGGUAGCAUUUUGCCGCCUUGGUACCCGAGAAACCUCUCCAGGACAUCACUGCUGUAGUGAGGGUAAUGUUGGAAUUAUUUAUUUAUUCCUACUUUUUUUUUCGUUGAAGUUGUAGUCAAGGUAAUGAUUGAAUCUAUGUGUCGAUCGAUAUAGUAUUCUACGAUAUGAUCAUCAAGAAAGUCGUCUAGACUAUGAUAUGUUUUAACCAAUCUUGAGAUGAUUCUCUACAGGCAAUCGAGAGGAGAAGAGCCCUUUGUGAAGAAAGUGAAGGCCUACAAAACGAGCACGAUUUUUUGACGAUUUCUCAAAACCCCAAAAUUGGUAAAGUGCCAAAGAUAUUACUGCUAAAUAUCACAAAUCAAGAUGAAGGAGAUUCAGUUUCGUUAACUCCUCAAAAGAAGCUCCUAAACGAUAUUGACACAGUCGAAAAAGUUGUGACGGAGGAGCUUCGUAAGCUGAAGAGCACUCCCACUGCUAAAAAAGCCGAACGGGAUAAAAGAGUAAGGACUUUGUUGUCCAUGCGCUAGUUAAAUCUUGACCGUACGUUUCAAUCAAGGUUGAGAUCGAAGGGUAUCUAUCUGAACUGUGCUUAGUAUGGUUGAUCAUUUCUUGAUGAUUUAAAUCUCAGUUGUAUACUUGUAUAGAUCAUCACUUGAUGAUCAAACUAUAGUAUAGUAUGAUUACUAGCUUUUAUUACAAGAAUUCGUUUUAGUUUCGUUUACUGUUUGGAUCUUUUUGGAAUCAAAUGUGGUAAGAAUCUAUACUCUGCUGAUUUAUUUGUACGUAUCUAUUUUUUUUAGUCUAGUUAGAACGAGUCCCGAGUUUAACGAAGCCAUACGACAACUACAUAAAAGAUCACAAACAUGCCAUGACAAAAGAAUCAUACAUAUAAUUUCCGUCUCUUAUGUAAGAAAACGGCAUCAUGCUAUAGAAAUUGCCGGCCGUGCUUCAUUCUGUAAUAUUAAAAUAAAAUGCUAUUCUAUAAAUCAAAUUAAUUAAUCUUGAACGAAUAAUGUAGAGUUUACCAAGUCAAUACUCCUUUCUAUUAAUCCUCCAAACACAAUUCACACUUCCUCAUAAUUUGUAAAACCAUGGCUGAAUACAAAGAAUAUAUCAUCUUCUUCCUCAUAUGGCUAGUUCCCACUAUUAUAAUCCGAACCCUAAUCAAGAAACGAUCUUCUAGAACCCUUCCUCCGAGCCCUCCAUCGUUGCCAAUCAUCGGUCAUCUUCAUCUUCUAGCUCCAAUACCUCACCAAGCCCUAGCAAAGCUCUCGUAUAAAUACGGGCCCUUGAUCCACAUACACCUCGGUUCUUACCCUUGCUUAAUCGCUUCAUCGCCCGAGAUAGCGAAAGAGUUCCUCAAAACACACGAAAGAUCUUUUUCAGACAGGCCUCAAACUGUUACUACAGACUACUUAACUUACGGUUCACAAGAUUUCUCGUUCGCACCUUACGGGCCUUUUUGGAAGUUCAUGAAGAAGCUCUGCAUGUCUCGGCUUCUUGGCGGGCCCACACUUGACCUGCUUCAGCCCGUUCGGGCCCACGAGAUAAAGAGGCUCGUUCGAUUCUUGGCGAAAAAGGCAAGAAAUGGAGAAUCGGUGGAUAUUGGAAAUGAGCUUGUUAAAAUGACGAAUAACGUGAUAUCGAGUAUGAUAAUGAGUCAACGGUGUUCGGGUGAUGAAGAAGGUGAAGCUGAGGGGGUGAGGAAAUUAGUUCAGGAUAUUGCGGAGAUUACGGGAACGUUUAAUGUUUCGGAUUAUAUUUGGUUCUGUAAGAAUUUGGAUUUGCAGGGGAUCGGUAAGAGGAUGAAAGAGGUUCGUGACAGGUUCGAUGAAAUGAUGGAGAGGAUUAUAAACGAGCAUCGAGUUCGAAGGAGGGAAUCGAGCAAGGAAUCUGUGAAGGAUUUGCUUGAUAUUUUACUUGAUAUAGCUGAAGAUGGAAGCUCUGAGAUGAAGUUAACAAGAGAGAAUAUCAAGGCUUUUAUCCUGGUAAUUAAUCUAUAAAUUUAUUGUUCUGUUUUUUUUUUUUUGAAGAGAACUCAUAUAUUCAAAUGGUUACAUUUAGGAGUAGAAAUCGAACGGAUUGGAUCGGAAUUAGCACUUUCGGAAAAAUUCCAUUUUUUUGGAAGUGAAAGAAUCCGAAAAUUUCGAAAUCAAAAGUUCGGAAAUUGGAACGAAUAAACUUGUACCAAAAUCAGAAAUUUUCGGAUCGGAAUCGGUGGAAUUUGAAAAUUUCCAAUUAUUGGUCACCUAAAGUAUAAAAUGCAUAAUAAUAAAAAUAAAAAUGAUAUUAUACGUGUAAUUUUUGGACAAAAAGCGAAUUUUUUGGAAAUUGAAGUCCGAUAGAAUAUUCCAUUUCGGAUCCAAAAAAAUUGGAAAUAAUCUAAAUCGGAAUGAAAAAUAUUGUUCCAAAAUCCAAAAGAAAUCGGAUCAAAUCAUCAAAAUCGUCGUAAAUCGGAAAUUUCGUUCCAAUUUUCACCCCGAGUUUGUAUUUAUUGAUGGUGCAGGACUUAUUUAUUGCUGGAACAGACACAUCAGCAAUCACACUACAAUGGGCUUUAUCAGAGUUGAUCAAUCACCCUGAAAUAAUGCAAAAAGCGGCUCACGAAAUCGACUCCCUCAUAGGAAACAACGAAAGACUAGUCCAAGAAUCGGACAUUCCCAACUUGCCCUACCUGCAAGCCAUCGUAAAAGAAACACUAAGGCUCCACCCAACGGGCCCACUAAUCGUGAGGCAGUCGAGCGAAGACUGCACAGUUGGCGCGUACCACAUUCCCGCCAAAACUCGACUUUUCGUGAACGUGUGGGCCAUAGGCAGGGAUCCUAAUCAUUGGGAAAACGCACUCGAGUUUAUUCCAGAUAGGUUUAUUAACUCGUCCGUGCCGGAUUUGAGAGGGCAGCAUUAUCAUUUCUUGCCGUUUGGGAGCGGUAGAAGAGGUUGUCCUGGAAUAUCGUUGGCUCUGCAGGUUGUUCAGACAACCUUAGCUGCGAUGAUUAAGUGCUUCGAGUGGAAAGCCGACGGAGUUAGUACUCGUGUCGAUAUGGAAGAAGGGAUCGGAAUUACUUUGCCGAGGGCUAAUCCUCUCAUUUGCUCCCCUAUUAUCAGGCUCAACUCCAUUCCAUCUAGUAUUUGAUUUUAGUUCAAUUGCUCAAACAAAAAAAAAUUUACGGCCACCCCUGCGAUAAGGUCAAAUUACAAAAAAAACCCUCUUGUUUGAUGAAUGACAACCACCCCUUAAUUAUGAAUUUUCUUACACUUUCACCCUUGCGCUGUCAAAUUUAGUGAAAUGUUUAGAUUAUGUGAAAUAUUCUUCAGUUUGUACCAGUUUUACCCCAUUCGAACUCCAAAUAUUAAACGGAUGAUCAUAAAAUGUGGCUCUUGGACUGUAUCAAAUUGUGGUACAUCAAAAACUGUGUAUUUGCACAAAACGAGUACAAAGUAGAGAACAUUCCACAUAAUUUAGAAGAUUUUGUUAAAUUUGACACUAUAAGGGUGAUGUGUUAAAAAAAUUAUACUUGAAGAUUGUGAUUGUAAUUACCAAAUUAUAAACAGAUUUUUCGUAAUUUAACAUUAGCCAAGCGGUGACCGUAAUUUAUAUAUAUGGGUAUGUAUAUAGAUUACACAGGCAAUUGGCCAUGUUACUCCACAUUAUUUAUUACAACUUAGUAUUUCAUUUGACUACAUUCUAUCAUAAAGUCAACACUGUAUUAUCUCAACUCUCUCUAUCAAAUUGCAUCAGCUCCAAAUUAAUUUACCAUCGAGCCAUGGUGGUUGCCUUCCAUUGUUUCUUAUUUGUGCUACUUUCUCUCUCUAAAACUGCAUUGUCAGAAAGAUGCCACCCAAAUGACAAAAAAGCCCUCCUGAAAAUCAAGAAAGACCUCAACUACCCCCACCACUUCAUCUCGUGGGACGCAAAAACCGACUGCUGCAUCGACUGGAAAGCGGUGGGGUGCGACGAUAAAACCCACCGCAUCACCCAAUUCUACGCCGCAUACGCCGAUCUCAACCUCCCCAUCCCGGCGGCGAUCGGAGACCUCCCGUUUCUCGAGUACCUCAAGUUUCACAAAUCCGGGGUCACCGGAGAAAUCCCGGAAUCCAUAACAAAGCUUUCUCACCUUCAGUUUCUCGAUCUCCGGUGGAAUUAUCUUACAGGCCCUGUUCCUUCAUUCCUCGGCAAACUCAAGAAACUGACGUACAUUGCGUUGUCGUUCAACAAUCUCACCGGCUCGAUUCCAGCUUCACUUUCCGAGAUCCAGAACCUUGGAAGACUCCGUUUGGAUCGGAACAAGCUCACCGGAGGAAUCCCGGAGUCGUUUGCCGAUUUCCGGCAGCAGGAUUUCUCUCUCUACUUGUCCCAUAAUCAGCUGACGGGGAAUAUUCCGGCGAAGCUGGGAUAUGCUAAUUUUACGUGGAUCGAUGUUUCUAGAAACAGGCUUCAAGGUGACGUGUCGUUCUUGUUCGGGAAGAACAAGAGUUUAGGAGUGGCUGAUUUUUCGAGGAAUAUGUUGGAGUUCGAUUUGUCCGAGGUGGAGUUUCCGGCGAGUUUGACGGAUCUGGAUUUGAAUCAUAACAGGAUUACGGGCAGCCUGCCCGAGGGAUUGGCUGAGUUGGGCAGCACUCUUAACUCGCUCAACGUGAGUUACAAUCGGCUUUGCGGUAGGAUUCCGGCGGGUGGCAGGUUGCCGGAUUUUGAUUAUACGGCGUAUUUUCAUAACAGAUGUCUGUGCGGUGCUCCUUUGCCAAAAUGCAAAUGAUUUAUUUCUGUAUUCUGUUUGCAAAUAUUUUUAAAUGGGUAAAAUACAAUUUUAGUCCCUCAUAUUUGCACUGAUUUCACAUUUGGUCCCUAUGUUCACAAACAAAACACAUUUGAUCCCUUAUGUUUCAAAACUUCAACACUUUUAGUCACUUCCGUUAAUUUUUCGUUAAGACUAACGGAAUCAAGCAUGUGAUCAUCACUGCCUUAACUGACAGAGUAUCGGUAAAUUGAAGAAAUCAAGAAAAUGACAAAAAAUGUUAAAUUAUUGAAACAUGAGAGACUAAAUGAGUUUGUUGUGAAAAUGGAGACCAAAUGUGAAAUCAGUGCAAAUAUGAGGAACCAAACUAUGAUUUCCCCAUUUUUUAAUAGGGUAAAUUAUACGGUAAGGUAAAAUUACAAGAAAAACCCUUCAUGUUUGGGUAAUUACAACCACCCCUCAAUUAUAAAAUUUUCUUACAUGUACACCCUUUUGGUGUCAAAUUUAAUAGAAUAUUCUAAAUUCCGUGAAAUAUGCUCCACUUUGUAGUCGUUUUGUGCACAAAUGCAGUUUAAGAUACACCACAAUUUGAUAUUUACACGUACACAUCUUAUGAUCAUCUUGCUUCAAAAUGUGGAGCUCGAAUGACGGCUACAAACGGAAGAAUAUUCCACUAAAUUUGACACUAUAGGACCAAUGUGUAAGAACAUUCAUAAUCGAUAGAUAAUUGUAAUUAUCAAAAGAUAAGAAAUUUUUUCGUAAUUCGAACUCACCUCGGCGCGGUGGUAAUUUACCCUUUAAAGUUUAAACUAAUAUCUAGAAAUAGAUUCUUCACUAUGAGUUGGAAGGAAAAAGACAAGAAGAUGACCAAAUACUAAUAUGCAAUUAAUCAUUAAAAUCUGUUUAAUUAAAAUUAAUCAUUGAAAUCAGUGAGAGUUGACCAAGUGUAUUAAUCCUCCUCCAACACUUCCAUUACUCAGAAAUCAGAAACCAUGGCUGAAUACAUCAUCUUCUUCCUCAUAUGGCUAAUCUCCACCAUCAUAAUCCGAACCCUAAUCAAGCAACGAUCUUCUACUUCUAGAAGCCUUCCCCCAACGCCACGUGGCUUACCGAUCAUCGGCCAUCUCCAUCUUCUAUCCCCAAUACCCCACCAAGCCCUAGCGAAGCUCUCGUCCAAACACGGGCCGUUAAUCCACAUCCGCCUCGGAUCUUACCCAUGCCUCAUCGUUUCAUCGCCGGAGAUCUCGAAAGAAAUCCUCAAAACACACGAGAGCUCCUGCUCCAAUCGCCCCCAAAACGCCGCCAUCGAUUACCUCACCUACGGCUCACAGGAUUUCACCUUCGCACCUUACGGCCCGUACUGGAAGUUCAUGAAGAAGCUCUGCAUGUCCCGCCUCCUCGGCGGGCCCACCCUCGACCUCCUCCGGCCCGUUCGGGCCCACGAGAUCAAUCGGCUCGUUCAGUUCGUGGCGAGCAAGGCGGGAAACGGCGAAUCGGUGGAUAUUGGAGGUGAGUUUGUGAGAACGACGAAUAAUGUGAUAUCGAGUAUGAUCAUGAGUCAACGGUGCUCCGGCGACGGAGAAGGUGGAGCUGAGGCGGUGAGGAAACUGGUUCAGGAUAUUGCGGAGCUCACGGGUAGGUUUAAUGUGUCGGAUUAUAUUUGGUUCUGUAAAAAUUUGGAUUUGCAGGGGUUUGGUAAGAGGAUGAAAGAUGUCCGCGACAUGUUCGAUGAAAUGACUGAGAGAAUUAUCGACGAGCAUCUCGUUCGAAGGAGGGAAUAUUCGCAGGAAUCUGUGAAGGAUCUUCUUCAUAUAUUACUUGAUAUAGCUGAAGAUUCAGCUUCUGAAUUUAAGCUAACAAGACAGAAUAUCAAGGCUUUUAUCCUGGUAAUAAUUAAUCUUCUGUUUAUUCAUUCUUCUGUAUUUUUGAACAAUUAUGGUUGCCUCCCUGCACUUUGAUCUAAUUACAAAAAACCCUCUUGUUUUAAAAAUUACAAUUACCCCCUCUGAGGUUAGAAGUUGCAUAAAAUUGAUGUUAGUAGUAACGAAAUCUUUGAGUUGCCAUGAAUAGUUUCUUAUGAAUUCCAAAUUUAACCAUACCAUAGGGGUGUAAUUGUAAGAUUUUAUGGAAAUAUAAGGGACCAAAUGUGUUUUUUGUGAACACGAGGGGCCAAAUGUAUAAUACGUGCAAACUUGAAGGAUUAAAAUUGUAAUUUUCCUCUUAUUCUUCUCUUUUUUUUUUGUAACAAUUACGUUUACCUCCCCUGCGCUUUGAUCUAAUUACAAAAAUUCUCUUGUUUCAAAAAUUACAAUUACCCCCGAGGUUAGUAGUUGCAUAAUAUUGACCCCAUACGGUGUUAGUAGUAACGAAAUCUUUGAGUUCCCAUGGACAGUCUCUUAAGAAUUCCAAGUUUAACUAUACCAUAGAGGUGUAAUUGUAAGAUUUUAUAUUUAACAGGGGGCUAAAUGCAACAUUUGUAAUGGUUGUUCAAUUAAUUUUGUCUACAAAAUAAUGCAGAUAUAUCUUUUAAAUUUGUACACAAAAUAAACAAAAACAUUUCGUAAUUUAUAAAACAUGAGGGUCUUUUUGUAAUUAGAUCAAAUCUGAGGGGAUUUAACCGUAAUUUACGCUAAUUUGUAUGAUCUUGCCAGGACUUAUUUACUGCUGGAACAGAUACAUCAGCAAUCACACUACAAUGGGCACUCUCAGAGCUAAUAAAUCACCCUGAAAUAAUGCAAAAAGCGGCUCAAGAAAUCGACUCUCUCAUAGGAAACAACGAAAGACUCGUCCAAGAAUCGGAUAUUACUAAUUUGCCCUACCUUCAAGCCAUCGUAAAAGAAACACUAAGGCUCCACCCAACGGCCCCACUAAUCGGUAGACAGUCGAGCGAAGACUGCACUAUUGCAGGGUACUGUAUUCCGGCCGAGACUCGAUUAUUCGUGAACGUGUGGGCCAUAGGAAGAAACCCCGAUUAUUGGGAAAACGCGCUCGAGUUUAUUCCGGAGAGGUUUAUUUCGUCUGAGUUGGAUUUGAGAGGGCAGCAUUAUCAUUUCUUGCCGUUUGGGAGCGGUAGAAGAGGAUGUCCUGGAAUAUCAUUGGCUUUGCAGGUUGUUCAGACAACCUUAGCUGCGAUGAUUCAGUGCUUUGAGUGGAAAGCCGACGGAGUUAGUACUCGUGUGGAUAUGGAAGAAGGGAUCGGAAUGACAUUGCCGAGGGCUAAUCCUCUCGUUUGUUCUCCGGUUUUGAGGCUCAAUUCCAUUCCAUCUAAUAUUUUUUUUUAGUUCAAUUGCUCAAUAUAUAUAUAUAUAUAUAUAUAUAUAUAUAUAUAUAUAUAUAUAUAUAUAUAUAUAUUCUUACUUUUUUUAUUUGAGUACCUCAAUUAGUUUCACAAAUCCGGAGAAAUCCCGGAGUCCAUAAAAUGUUCAAGCUAGCUUGUAUAUAUAUAUUUAUCGAGUUUUUAAAAUUGUAUUUGGACUUGGUAAUGUUUAACGACCGACUUGAGCUCCAACAAGCUUAAAUCGAGUCCGAAUAAGAACCGAGCUCGAGCACUUUCAAUUUUUGUUCAUAUUUUUUCUAAUUAAAUUGGAGCUCGAACUUAAUGCUAACAAAAAUAGAUCUUCAUGCUUGGUUCGUGAGUUUGACAAAUUGAACUUAAACGAAACUUUUAAAGAAUAACCUCGAAUCGAAUUAUAGCCUAUCGGGUAAAUUAGUUUAAUUUUCGUGUCAGCCCCUAACUAGUGGAUACAAUGUUAAUUUUAGUUUUGUUACACAUAAAAUAAAUCAAACUUGAUAUCCAAAAAUUAUAUUUUCUAUAUAAUAUGAUUGUAAAUUAAAAAAAAAAAAAAAAAAAAAAAAAACAAACAAACAAUAUUGAGUAAUUGUCACGUGUACCGUUAUAUAGUUUGUUUUAGUGCACACCUGCUUAUUCUCAUAGGCUCAACCACACCGGAUUACAGCCCAAUUGAACUUCUCCAACUAUAAAACCGUCCCGCUCACAGAGCAAAGCAUGUUUCUUCUAUUGCGUUUUUCAUUCUCAGAUUUUUUAUUCUCUCUGUGAAAUCUAACCGCCUCUUUCUCAUUCAAAAAUUCAGCUCGUAUCUGCGUUCUCUGCCGUUACAAGGUAUGAUUAGAUUAUUCGCUAUAUGUAUACAUUGUACGUAUAUACCAUUGUAUGCGUAGUUACUGUGUGAGAAAGUGUGUUCGCGAGGGAAAAUCAAUUACGCCUUUGAGGAAUUUAGGGCUAUCGGACCAGCUGUUUUUUACUGUUUAAGCGUGUAGUUGUAUGUGUUUUGAAAACGGAAAUGAAAAUUAGCUGCUGAAAUUUCAUGUUUGUGCGUGUAAUUGUAUGUGUUCUGAGAACGAAAAUGAAAAUUAGCUGCUGGAAUUUCAUGUUUGUGCGUGAAAUUUUGUGUGUGUUCUGAGAACGAAAAUGAAAAUUAGCUGCUGGAAUUUCAUGUUUGUGCGUGAAAUUGUAUGUGUUCUGAGAACGAAAAUGAAAAUUAGCUGCUGGAAUUUCAUGUUUGUACGUGAAAUUGUGUGUGUUCUGAGAACGAAAAUGAGAAUUAGCUGCUGAAAUUCCAUGUUUGUACGUGAAAUUGUGUGUGUUCUGAGAACGAAAAUGAAAAUUACCAGCUGAAAUUUCAUGUUUGUACGUGAAAUUGUGUGUGUUCUGAGAACGAAAAUGAGAAUUAGCUGCUGAAAUUUCACGUUUGUGCGUGAAAUUGUGUGUGUUCUGAGAAGGAAAAUGAAAUUUCAUGUUCGUGCGCCUUUGUGUGCGUGUGUGUAAUGUGAUUUUUCUUCUCUUAUUUUGAAGCAACAAUGGUCAAUUGGCUUCGAAAGUUUUUAGUCUGCUUGGGUAAAGCCCAUGAUGCCAAUGCCGGUACCCGUGCCGAGGACUAUCCGGAGAAUAUAUGGUCGGAGGACCUUGUGAGGCACUCCUCCGGAGAAUGCUCUAUGGCGAUGGUUAGAGGGAACAAACAUGUAGAGGACCGUUGCCAUGUAGUGGUCACCCCAGCCGGUACAUUCUUUGGUGUUUACGACGGCCAUGGUGGCUCCGCCGCCUCUCAAUUCGUGCUUGACCAUUUACAUACUAAUUUCACAAGUAGCGUAUUUCUCCCCCCCCUUUUUUUUUCUUUUUUUAUUUAUUAAACGUUGUUUACUUAGACGCGAUUUAAAAAACUUUUUUUCUUGUUUUUUCUUUUUGGUGGUAGGGAUUUUACAAGAAGCAGGGGGGGUUAUGUCUGAUGAAGUCUUGCGGAAUGCAUUUUCUGAAACAGAAAAUGAGUUCAUCGAGUUGAUUCGAAAACAAUUUAGCCUAAUGCCAGCAAUCGCAGCCAUUGGAUCAUGCGUUUUAGUUGGGGUGCUUUGGGGGAAGGAUCUCUAUUUGGCCAACUUAGGUGACUGUCGAGCAGUGAUGGGUGGUUUAAUGGAAGGACAAAUUUGGAGGGAACGUGCGAUGACUGUUGACCAUAAUGCUAGGUCUUCAGAUAUAAGAAAAGAAUUACAAGAAGCGCACCCUGAUGUUCCGGACGUUGUUCUUAAGAGAGGCGUUUGGCGGGUCAAGGGCAACCUUCAGGUAGGCGAUGAAUUUAGUUUUUUUAAUUUCUUGUUCUUUUAGCUAAUCUAAUUUGCUUGAAUAUUAUUUCUGUGUUUCUUGCUUCUUGGACUUUUGCAAGUGACUUUAUUAAGAUUUGUAGUUAUUUUUACAUUCUUUAUGAAAGGUACAUAUUUGAAUUGUUAACCAGAUGAAUUCUAUUAAAACUAUUAUCCAUUGGGGAUGCUUACCUCAAAUUUCCGGAAUUUGACGAACGAGUGAUAAUAUUUUGUUUUUUUGGUGAAAUUAGGUGACGAGAUCCAUUGGGGAUGCUUACCUCAAAUUUCCGGAAUUCUCCUUGAACACUAUUUCAAGAUAUAAGAUCAAGAAGCCUAUUGUUCGACCAGUGGUGAGAGCUGAUCCAGAGAUAACGAAGACAGUUUUACACAAAGAUGAUAGAUUUAUUGUCUUCGCGACUGACGGGCUGUGGGAUGAAUUAUCCAAUACAGCGGUGGAUCUGAUAGUUAGAGGGGAGCCUCGACCGGUAUGUGAUCGUAUUUGAAUACCAAUACUAAUUAUGAAUAUUAUAAUUACUUGUUUGGUUUUUUUUUUAAUUGGUGUUUUAAGGGGAUUGCAAGGACACUCAUCAGAAGGGCACUAGAAGUAGCAGCGACCAAGAAUAAGAUGACGUACGAGCAGUUAAAGAGGCUGGACGAGGGCCAGCGUGACAGAAGACCAAUCCACGAUGACAUGACCGUCAUCGUGGUGUUUUUCGAUCAAGCAGCACCGGGUGAGGAACCCAUGGUAAGCUAUACCUUGGGUAAUGCUGGACCAUCAAGCAACCCCGGUGCUGGACCAUCUAGCAGCUCCACUGGAGCAUCAAGCAGCUCCAAUGCUGGACCGUCAAGCAACCCCGGUGCUGGAGCAUCAAGCAGCUCCAAUGCUGGAGCAUCAAGCAGCUCCAAUGCUGGACCAUCAAGCAACCCCGGUGCUGGAGCAUCAAGCAGCUCCAAUGCUGGAGCAUCAAGCAGCUCUAAUGCUGGAGCAUCAAGCAGCUCCAAUGCUGGACCAUCAAGCAACCCCGGUGCUGGACCAUCAAGCAGCUCCAAUGCUGGAGCAUCAAGCAGCUCCAAUGCUGGUAUAGUUCUUUAUUAUCACUAAUAAGCUUAUCCCAAUUAUGCUAAUUUUCUUUGCAUCACUAUUAUGGUUACAACCUGAUGAAACUGAGUGUAAACUCUGACGUUGAUUACUAUGAUUGGCACUUUUUUUUCAGAAAAAAAAAUCUUGUUAAUUAGUAGACAUUUUGAAAUUUGAAUUACAUUAAGUGCAGCCUGUUGAUUUAGUCCAAAAGAAAGAACUAAUAUACAACAAAUUCAAUUUUGUAUUUGCAGUUCAAGCUGUUCGUGGUAUCUACAGGGCCGAGCAGCUGGUACACUGGAAACCCGAAGCUUGGAUCGGAGUUCAGUGCUUCAAAUCAUCCAUAAUCAACCUGUAAUUUCUUGGUUAUUUUAUUUCAUAUUAUAAAUUCAUUUCUUAAACUAAGAGCAAUAUUCACAGUCAACCUCUUCCUUUUUCAGUCAACUUCACGGGCUGGAGCUCACUGGAAAUCUUGGGUAUCAGCUGUCCAAUCUAAAAACUUUGAAGCAUAUGUAAGAAAUUGUGGUUUAUGUAAUUUUUUUUAUUAAUUCAUUAGUAUUUUGAUAAUGUUCUUGUGACCGAUUUUGUGUAAACUUCAUUUUGACCGGGACCUUAGUUCAAAUAACAUUGAAGGCUCAAUCCCGUAUUGUUUACCUCCAAACCUCACACACUUGUAAGGACACUACUCCACUUAGCUUGUUGCCUUUUAGAAUUAAUAAUUCUAACUUCACAUGCUUUUGCAAGAAUUAGCUAUUCUAAGUCGUACUGUACUUAUUGCCUUGUGGAUCUAAAAGGAAUGUAAUCUAAAUCAGUAAACCAUAUUCCUUAUUUAGUAGGCAUUAUUUUUACUGAUGAUUCACAUAUGCAGUUUUACUGCUUGUCAACUUAUCAUUAGUGGUUGAAGAUGAAUAGGAUUUCAGCUCUUGAUUUGCCCCUUUAUCUGCUUAUUAUGCUCCUCUUUUGGAUCAAAGACUCAACCAAGUUUUCUUGGCUUUUUUUUUUUCCCAUUUUCACCAUUGCUGAGAAUACAAUCUCAAUCGCCUUUCAUCAGGGAUUUGUCGUUUAAUAACUUCACUCGAGAUCUGCCCACCUCAUUCAGAUCACUGACAAACCUUACAGGCUUGUGAGUUUUCGUCUUCUUCUUCAACAUCCAAUGACAAGAGUUAUAAUUUUCAGGUUUAUGCAGCGCAAUCAACUCACUGGAUCAGUGUUUUUCUUAUCCAAUCUCUCGCUUACUGACUUGUACGUCUUCUCCAAUAAAAUUUCAUAAUUUAUUCCAAUCUAGUUCAGUUGUUCAUGUACUCACCUACUCCGAUUUUCAGGAAUAUCGAAGACAACCAUUUCAGUGAUGUUAUUCCUGAAAACUUUCAAGCUAUAGCCGCCUUGAGGUAAUCCAUUUAUAAGCUUCUUCAUUCACCUCAUAAAUUUGAAACAUUAUAUUUAUUCAGGAUUGGUGGGGUCGCUCUCGUUGCAUCAUUUUUGGCUAUUGCACUUGUGGUGCAAAAACAUCGCUCACGUGGGAAAACACUCGGCAGCUUGGAGAGCAGUGAAAAUUCAGUGAGAUCUCUACCAAUCGGCACAGUCCAAGGUGAAACACAUGUCGUUUUAGCAAAACAUAAAACCAACUGAUUAAAAUGUCUUGUGGAUAUUUAUUUAUAUUCUUCUGAAAACUGUACACAAUAUAGCAGAGCUUCAAAUAACAACAAACAGCUUGGGUGAAGAAAACUUCCUCUGUGAGGGUUCCCUUGGUUCUGUUUACAGAGCAGAGUUUCUAGAUGCAUAUCAAUUGUUGACGAGAUGGGCUUCAUCGAAACCUCAUGACAGCACAUCAUUAGGACAGAUGGUUGAUCCAGCAGCUAUUAUAAGAACAAUCUCCUCCAAAUCUGCCUCUCGUUUCGCUGACAUCAUAUCUCCGUGUAUACAGGUACCUCAAAAAAAACGCCAUUAAGUAGGAUUACCAUAUUGUUUCAUUACAUAAAAUUUUACUGUCUGAAAAUGCACCAUCACAGCCUAAACAAGAAUUCAAGCCCACCAUGCCUGAAGUUGCCGAGUCUUUGAUGCAAAAGCCGAUUGCCCCAGAUGGCCCUGAAGUUGCUGACUCUUUCGAUCGAUCUCUUAGGUCAACCAAUACCCGUUUCUGUGGAUCACCUACUCUAAGCUGCUACUCUGUUUAAGAGUCAGUUGUAAAAUUAGGGUACAAGUGUUAAUAACACAUUGGAAUGUAAAACGGCAUUUCUAAGUAAAUAGACAAACACUUUGUCACACCCAAUUCUUUAGGUGGAGAUAAUGCAGAUGUUGAUUGAUAAUGUCUCAUUCAGUAACAUACAAAAACAAAAGUUUAAUGCAAAUGUUGAAACAAUUUUGUUUGCUAUUGUUCAGUACAAGGAACGUCGAUCUAGUUAUACAUUUAAGCCACUACUGAGCAAUGAGUUAUUGAUAUAGGUCUUCCAUCGAACAGUUUCGAAAGUCUCUUCAACUCUCUCGUUUUUCACUAGGGCUGCUUACUGCAAAAUUGAAAUUUUCUUAGAAAGUCAACUUUGAAAGUCAAACCCUAAUAUAGAUUCCACUUUCGUAACUUAACAUAAGAUGAAAUCACUUGAGUCGGGGCUUCGGAAGACAAUGAAUUUUGCAGCUCCACACGUUUGUUAUAUAUAUAUGUCUUUUAACUUCACCUCAUGGUGCUUCUUUUAACUUCACCUCAGUGUGCUUCUUUUCUUGUGAUAUGGGCUUUAGCAUGAAAGAUAACCUCAGUAAAAAUAAACGUAAUAAAGUAAGUUCACCUCUUAACUGCAGGGAGCCAUUUAACAAAUCCCAUUUCUUUUUUUCUUUUUUUUUUCUUUUUUUAUUACUAUGGUUUUUGGUAAUUCAUUUGCUCAUUGUUUAAUUCUGCACUGCAGUAGAGGAGGAGGAGGAGGAUGAUAUAUCAAGACGGAUGCAGUUUAAUUGGUUGAAAAAACUAAUGGCGCGAAAAUCAACAACAACGAGGAUCUCACAUCCCAACAACGAGGAUAACAAAACUCUGCAGGUUUAUUAAAUGUUAUGAAUCUUUGAUAUUAAAUUUUAUAUGUGAAACUGCAUCGUGCUCUUGUAUUAUAUUGGAUUUACAGUUCUAAGGGAAAUUAGGGGGGUUUUUCGAAAUGAGUACAAAACAAAACUCUGUGCUUCUGCAGGUAUAUAUAUGUUAUGGAUCUUGAUAUUAAAUUUUAUAUAUGAAACUGCAUGCUGUUGUAUUAUAUUGGAUUUACAGUUCAAAGGUUUUUUUUCGAAAUGAAUACAAAACAAAACUUGAACUCCAAGAAAGAUUAAAGCUAAGCGUCUUAUUCUGAUACAAGGUACCUCCGCCUCCACUUACGUUGCUAAUUAAUCACCUAUUCCAUCACUUAAUCAGUACGCAAUUUUGAUGUAUUUCAUUACUUAACUCAGGAAUUUCUAGAGAAAGAGGAUCGACGAUGUCGGACGAUAUUCGAAAACAGAAAAGGUGUUUAUGAAUGUUGUUGGAGAAACGUAACUUUCAAAGACAAUCCUCAAAUUACAUAAAUGGAAAUCGUUAUACAUCGCUAGUUUGGGGUGGGGGACUCGAGCAUUUCGAGAACCGGACUAAUAAAAUUAUGGCAUUGCAGAUUACGACCAAUUCAAGGUCAUCAGAUAUGUUCAUUGUUAUAUUUUCAAAAUUUCUCUUUGAAUUUAUUAUAAUCGUGUAUGUAUGUAUGAAUGAAUGAAUGAAUUACAUUUACUCCAGGAACAAGGAUCUAUCAGUGAUGCAUACCUGAAGCAUUACGAAUUAGCUCUCGGAUAUCAUAAAUAUGACACUAUAUAUAUAUAUAUAUAUAUAUAUAUAUAUAUAUAUAUAUAUAUAUAUAUAUGGUAAUUCUUGUGCAUUCAAGUUGCUGUUGAGAAUUGAGAUUGUCCACAAAAGCCCAACACUGCUAAUUUUAAAAUUUAAUUUUAGCCCUAAAAUAGUAUUUUUUGUUACAUGUGAACAGAGGAUACUUGAUGGAGGAGAUCAUAAGUGAAAUCGGACGGACGAAAAAGUGUAAUUCUCCCUAGUUUGUAGAAUUUUAAAUGAAAACAUUGUUAUAACGUUGGAAUUUUCAAAUGGGAAUCGGCAGAAUCCGAAAAUUCAGUUCAAGUUUAAUUUCUACCCAUGUGCCACAGAAACUCCAACUUCUCAAUGUUUUUCUGCGUUUCAGAAAUGUUUCGUAUCGAAAACUCGAAAACACCUGUCGGACACCUUAUGGGUCAUUUUGUAAUUAUUAAAAAGUUAGAAACAUGUUUGAAUAGCUAAUUUUCAAAUAUUUUUAUUGCUUCUCAAAUUAUUUACAUCGAUUCAAUGACCAGUUGCAAAAUAAUAGUUUAUAGUAAAAUUUAUUUUCAAUAUAUUUGUGUUUUUUUGGGUGAUUCUCUAGUUUCUUGGAAAGCCAAGAAACAAUCCAUAGUCUCCAGAUCCUCAGCUGGAUCUGAAUAUAGAACUUUAGCAUCCGUGUCUAGUGAAUUGGUUUGGAUCAAUCAUAUUCUUCAAGAUUUUCAGAUUUCAGUUGAUUCCAACUUGGUCUUCUGUGACAAUUUCGCUGCAGUUCAUAUUGACUCCAAUCCAACUUUUUACGAACGCACGAAACACAUUGAGAUCGAUUGCCACUUCAUUCGGAAACAAGUUACUCAUGGUUUUGUCAGACUUAUGCUCGUGCCUAGUCGCGAUCAAAUUACUGAUAUUUUUACCAAAGCACUGCAAUUUCCUCUUUUUUCUCACUUGUUGUCCAAGAUGGCCUUGAAGAACAUUUAUUCUCCAGUUCCAUCUUGAAUGGGAUGUUGGAAUAUUUAUAUUCACAAUUUUAUUUUUGCUAUAACACAAAUAAAAGUGUUAUAUGCUAUUAGCGUUUUUGUUAUUAGUUUAGUAAAUAGCGUUUUCUCUUUUACACGUGUAAAGACAUGUAUACAAACCAACUCUUUGUUACCGUUGGUUAAUUAAUUCCCUUUUAUAAAAAUUAGUUUCUCUUUCUCUCUCUGUAACAAACUCUCCCUCCUUCUGCAACAAUGGAGUUUUCUAUCUCCUUGUAAAAUUCUUCAAUUUAAUACCCUCUGAACUAUAAACCUUUUUACACGUUCACCCUUGUGAUUUCAAAUUUAGUGGAAUUUUCGAGAUUAUAUGAAAUAUUAUCACUUUUGUACCUAUUUUAUCUCAUUCGAACUCUACAUUUUGAAGCAAGAUUAUCAUAAUAUGUGUAUUUUAGCUUGUAUAUAUCAGAUUGUGAUGCAUCAGAAACUCUAUUUUUACACAAAACGAGUACAAACUAGAGCACAUUACACGAAAUCUAGAUGAUUAUGUUGAAUUUGACACCAUAAGGAUGGAGAUGUAAGAAAAAAUCAUAGUUGAGGGGUAGAUAUAAUUAUCCAAAUAAGAGGAAUUUUUUCAUAAAUUGAUCAUACCUCGGGGUGUUUGUAAUUUACCCCAUUUAUAUAUAUAUAUAUAUAUAUAUAUAUAUAUAUAUAUAUAUAUAUACAACAACUUAUUUUAUCCCACAAAAACCUCUCAAUUGAUUUACUAACACUUCACUUUUUUUUUUGUUUUAAUAAUCAUUAUUUUUAUUAAUAAUGAAGAAGUAUAAUAAUUAUAUUUCUUUGACGACAUCUUUAAAAUUAUUUUUUAUGUUUUUUUUUUCUCUAUUAAUUCUCUAAUUUUUCACUUUGAAAUGCUAUUUUAUGUUCGUCCCAGAGAAAAUGCUAGUAAUUGAAGACCCAAUGCAUAAGCCAAAUUUAAUAAUGGGCCCACCAAAUAUCUAAUCUCAUGUAUAGAAAAUUACAGAUCUGUAAUGCAACGGUGAUUUAUGGCUCGUGACGAAUUACAUAUGUGUAACGCAACGGUGAUUUAUGGUUCGUGACGAUUGAGAGCACAUCGGUUGUCAUGUAUUAGAGCGGAUGGUUAUAGCGGUAGAUGGCCAUUGGAGACAGUGGUGUGAGGUUAGUCUACGGUGGGAGGUGGUUGCAUCAAUCUAGGCCUCUUUGAUGGUGCUAGGGUUUUGGUUGGCGGCUAGGAUUUAGUGGAUAGAAGUUGGUGGCGGCUGCAAAUUGUUGGCGGCUAGGGUUUGGCGACGGCUGAGAGUUGUUUUGUGGCUAGGGUUUGGAACAGUAGACCGUAGUAAACUAUAGUAUACUGUAGUAUACUAUAGCACAAGUAUACUAUUGUAUCCCGUAGUAUAUUACACUAGACUAUAGUAUACUAUAGUAUACUACUGUAUUAACAACAGAUGAAAUCAAAAAAAAAAUAUUUAAAAUAUGUAAAUUGAAUUAAAAAAAAUAUAUAUAUAUAUAUUUUUUUUUCGUAAUCUUCAAUAUUACAAAGAGAAAAAAUAAUUUUUUAAUUGUGUAAAAAUUGCUACAAUGAAGAAAUAGAAAGAAAAAGAAAAGGAUAUUAAACGUGUUUUAUAUAAAAAGAAUUAAAAUGUUUGGUUGAAAAAAUUAAAAUAUAUUAAAUACUGACUAAAAAAACAAUAAAUGCAAUUUGAAUUUUAAUUAAUGUAAAUUUCGAAUUUGUGUGUUGGAGGGCAUUUUUGGAAUAAAUUUUAUGAAGGAUGUGUAGCAAAUGUUUAGUUUAGGUUGUCAUUUAGUUCUAAUAAGUUUUGUCACUAGGAACCUAUAUCUUAAGGCCCCUUUUUUCUUUUUGUAAUUAACCAUACCUAGGGGUGGUUGUAAUUUACCCUUAAGAAGUAUAAUAAUUAUACUUUCUUUAACGGCAUCUUUAGAAUUAUUAUUUUGAGUUAAUUGCAUAGAGCCUCCUGUGAAAAGUCUAAUUGCCGGAAAAGUCCUUAUGUUAAAAAAAUUAGCAUUGACCCCCCCUAUAAUGAGUUUUAUUUAGUCUACGGCCCCUUUUAUCAUAUUUUGCUAUUGACUUUGGUGAAAUGACUAAACUACCCUAAUUAAAAUACUAUAGGUAAAAUAUAAUUUUGUUUGUAUAAAAAAACAAGAAAAGAAAAAGAAAAAUAAAAUAAUGAGAGAAAGGGGCUGCAAUUCAUCUUCUUCCUCAACACCACCUGCUAUUCCCACUGGUGAGGCAGAAACUUUUGCUUAUUAUUCUUACUCGGCUCUAAAACACGGUCAACAUCAAAGAGAAACGACGAAUCCGACGGCGGCGGCUGACCCAAAUGUUAUCCAUGGUGCUGAGUUUUCUUCUUUGUAAAUCCCCCGNNNNNNNNNNNNNNNNNNNNNNNNNNNNNNNNNNNNNNNNNNNNNNNNNNNNNNNNNNNNNNNNNNNNNNNNNNNNNNNNNNNNNNNNNNNNNNNNNNNNGUGGCGGUAGGGGGGUGGAGGGAAAAAGCUCGUCAAACAGAAUGAGGAAGAGGCGGUGGACGGUUGCGUGGUCGUAGGAGGGGUGGAAGGAGAAUGGAUGGGAGGAGCGGUGGACAACGGCGAGGAUGCGGUGGAGGCGGGCGAGGGAGCUGCGCAGCCGGUGGAGAUACUGGAUAAAUUAAGAAACCUAGGAUAGAGAAAUUAAAGUGGAAGUGUGUGAAUUUGUGUGUGUUACUACGUGUUUUUUGAUUUCAAUGGGAGAGAGGGCUUUAUUGAAAAUAGCAGGGACUAAAUUGAAACUUUUGAAAAUUUUAUUUUGGUUACAAAAAUAUUGGGGUCAUUCUAUAAUUUUUUAAAUUUCUGAUUUAAAGGGUAUUUAAGUAUUUUCAAGCUGAAAAACACACUCCCACUCACAUAAAUGGCGAGUGUAUUGCACGAUCAUGGGCUAGGGGGUUUAAUGGCUUUGACUAUAUUUCAUAGGGGGGUAAAUGUUAAUACUUUUAACACAGGGACUUUUCCGGCAAUUAGACUUAUCACAGGGGUGCCGCUUGCUAAAAACUCUAUUAUUUUCUAUGUUUUUUUUCCUCUAUUAAUUCUCUAAAUUUUCACUUCGAAACACUAUUUUGUGCAUAAAUAAUUAAUACAUAAUUAAUAAUAACACAACAGGUUAAAGACCGAAGCCCAUGGAGACGGCUUUUGAGAUCCUACACCGGGUGAAAUACACCGGGUAGAUCUUUACCAUUCAUAUACACACAAACAUGCACACACCCACAUUGGUAUGUGUAGAUCAGCGGUUAAAAAUACACCCGGUGUAACCUUCACCGAGUAUAGGAUAGAUAAAACCCAUGGGGACCCAAUACAUAAGCCAAAUUUAAUAAUGGGCCCACCAAAUAUCUAAUCUCAUGUAUAGAAAUUCCUUUAAUUCCCAUAAUUAGAUGUAAAACAUAUUGUAACUUUGACUAUUAGUCCUCUUAAAAUAGAAACACUUUGACUAGUGAAAGCAAAAAGAUAUUCUUAUCAAAAUUUAUCUGGACCAUACAUUCUCAAUCCACGUGAAUUGCAUAAAAUAAGUGGGGCAAUAUAUCUGCAUGCUUCACUGAUUGAAAAUAUUAUUUUUUUUUAUUUUUUCCACGUGACAUAUUUUUAUGUACAUCAAAUUCAAAUUCGAAUUGGAAAUGGGGUCACACAUUUGGCAACACAAACCAAAAGUAAGAUAAGAUCAAUUUGCAAUUUGCAUAGUGGCUGGUCCAUAUAGACCCCGUUAUUUCUAUUCUACAUCCGAUGAAAAUUAUACUGGUUGUCUUUUUAUCAUCGAUCUACAUACAUUAAUAUGUGUAUGUGUUUGUGUGUAUAUGAUCCGUAAAUGCAUAUAUAAAUUAUAUAUAUAUUUAGCAUUUCAUCUUAUUUUAACUAAUCUUAUAUUGACGACCAAAUGAGGUCUUAAAGUACUACAAUAAUAUACUAAAACUAGUAUUUUAAAAAUCGGUCGAGACAGGCGAUUAAUCGGUCUUCGGGAUAGAGGCGGUCUAAAACAUUUAUUAUUUUAGUGUAAAGUUUUGGAAAACUGAGUUUGGCCUAUAACGAAAUUUUAGACGGUUCGAAGUGGUCAAACCGAGUCAAACUUGACAUAUUUUACAACCUUGGCUAGAACCACAAUAGUAGUUAAAGAUAGAUAGAUGUAAGGCCAUUUAAUAAUGGGCCAUAGUCAUAAGCAAAGUAACUUUCAAUGCUGUAAAUAGGACCAAACACUGUCGGCCUCACAUUUGAGACGGAAUACUUUGGGGAUGUUUGGUUUCAUUUCCGAAAUCAAUUUCCACUUCUAUAUCUACUAUUUAUAAAACUGAGAUCAUGUUUGUUUCACAAUUUUAUCCAUAAAAUCUGAUUUUUUUCUUAUCAAAUUUAUAUUGAAAAUACACUAUUCAUACUUUUUCAAUUUUCAAACCUACUAACCAAUAUAUUUUAUUCCAUUAACUCGUUUCUCUCUCCUCAUUAAUAUUGACACACUCUCUCCUCUCAUUUAUCUCUCCUCAUUAAUAUCUACACUAUCUUUCCUCCCAAUUUCUCUAUCUACUACUACUACUAAAAAUAAUAAUAAUAAUAAUAAUAAUAAUAAUAAUAAUAAUAAUAAUAAUAAUAAUAAUAAUCCUCAAUCAUUAUAUUCUACUUUUGCACGUACUUUCCUAGAAAAAAUUCACCAUAAUCAAACAUAUUCCCAUUUCUAUACCUACAUAAAACUAAAAAUACCCAUUCAUCCAAAUAUAUUCUCAUUUUCUACACAAAAACAAAUAAACUACUUUUUCCAUCAGAAAUUUUGAAAACUAGAAAUUCCCAUUGGAAGCAUAACCAAACAUUCCCUUUAUUUCUCAGUUAAUGAGUGGAGCAAUAUAUACACCAUGUGCUUGAAGUUGAUGGUUCACUAAUUGAUUCGUUAUUUAUUUAUUUCACAUCACAUAUUUUUUUGUACAUCAAAACUCAAAAUCCAAAUAUAGAUUUGGAUAAGAUAAUUAAUUUGCAAUUUUCAUAUUAAAUGCUUGAUAACACUAUUACUAUAAUAGUAAAUCAUCCAUAUAUAUAUAUAUAUAUAUAUAUAUAUAUAUAUAUAUAUAUAUAUAUAUAUAUAUAUAUAUAUAUAUAUAUAUAUAAUAAUAAUAAUAAUAAUAGUAAUAAUAAUAAUAAUAUAUAUAUAUAUAUAUUCAUCCUCCACAUAUUUUAGUGGGAAAAUUACAAGCCCCCCAGAUGUAUGGUAAAUUUACAAAAAAAUCCUUCUUCUUUGGAUAAAUACAUCUAUCCCCUCAAAUGUGAUUUUUUCUUACACCUCCACCCUUAUGGUAUUUAAUUCAACAUAAUCAUCUAGAUUUCGUGGAAUGUGCUCUAGUUUGUACUCGUUUGUGUAAAAAUACAGUUCCUGAUGCACUGAUAUAUAUACAAGCCAAAAAACACAUAUUAUGAUCAUUUUGCUUCAAAUGUAGAGUUCGGAUAGGAUAAAAUUGGUACAAAAGUGAUAAUAUUUCAUAUAAUUUCGAAGAUAAUACUAAAUUUGAAACUGUAAGGGUAGACCUGAAAAAAGAUUUAUAGUUAAAGGAUGAUUGUAAUUAUCCAAACAGUAAGGAUUUUCGUAAUUUGACCAUACAUUAAAGGUGGUCGUGAUUUACACUAUUUUAUUUAUAUACAUACAGAUGUGAAUGCAAGAAUCCGAAAUUCAAAAUUAUGCAGCAAUGGCCGCCGUCAACUACUCCCAUUGUUUCAUAAUUUCGGUUCUCUUUUUUCUCUCCUUCCACGCCGACACUGCAUUUUCACAGAGAUGCCACCCAAAUGACAAAAAAGCCCUCCUAGAAAUCAGGAAAUACCUCAACACUCCUCCAAACAGCAACCUCAUCUCUGCGUAGGACCAGGCCUGGAAUCGUUUGCAUCGUCUAUAUACAAAACGAUCUACCUCUCUUGUUAUUCAUCUUAAGGACAAACUCUCUUCGAUUACUCGGGGCACUACCUCUGUGACAAAUUUUCUUCUCUCAAUUAAGAAGAUCGCUGAUGAACUCACCGUUCUUGGAAAUCCUCCGAGUGACGCCGACUUGCUUAUCUACACGACCCGUGGCCUUGGACCAGCCUACAAAGAACUAAUCACGACCCUUCGAACCCGUGACUCAGUGAUUCUUUUUGAAGAACUCUUUGAUAAAAUCAUUGACCAUGAAUCUUUCUUGUUGUAUAAUGAGAAAACUGAUCUUGAACCAACACCACCAACAACCCAUCUUACCACCCACUCACCUAACUUUCGUCAUGCGAAACGAGCUUCUCACCAAGACAUUCUCCCCACUCCCAGCCAUUAUAAACCUCCAAUCUCCACCAACCGUCCAUCACAACUACUGUGCCAAUUUUGUGACAAACGGGGACAUGAGGCAAAGCGUUGUUUCAAGUUAUUUUCCCAUCUCCGAUCGAACAGGCCUUCGGCAAAUCACAGCACAAUGGCUCCAUCCCCUAAUGCUCCUUGGAUUCUCGACUCGGGUGCUUCUCAUCAUGUUACCUCUCAGUUGUCAAAUAUGUCACUACCAAGGUUGUAAAAAGCGGUACUCGGGUCGGAGGUGGUUAGGGACCGACUCACGAUUAAUCGGUGCGGCAGUGAUUAAUCGAUGUUAAAUCGGAAAUAAAUCGGUUUUUAAAAUUUAAUAUAAUAUAUUUGUAGAUAUUAUUUAUAAAUACUCAAAACAUAGAUACAAAAAUAUUUAAACAUAGUUAUAUCUCCAUCAUGUAUAUAUUCUAAUAGCAUAAUAAAAGUUUAAUAAUAAUAAGAUCAUAAUACAUAAAUAUCCUUAUAAAAUAUAAAUAAAAAGGCAAUUUUUUUGGAAUUUACAUACACUCUUGGCAUACAUUAUUAGUUCUUUAACAAUCAUAAUUAACAUAAACAAAAUAAAGUAUAAACUCAUUUUUUUUGUUAUUAAAAUCUCAACUUUUAUUUUGAUUUAUAAAAAAAAUAAAAAACCGAUUUUUUGCCGAUUUUUGCCACCGAAGUUUGACCCGCCUUAAAGGUUUGACCGCCUCAGACCGCCUUGGACCGUCUCACAGGCAAAAAAAACGAUUUUUCAAACCUUUACACUAAAAUCGUAAAGGUUUUGGACCGCCUCCGCCUCGGCGACCGAUUAAUCGGCCGCAUCGGCCGAUUUUUAGAACACUGGUCACUACACCAACCUUACGAGGGCCCCGACGACAUCCAAAUUGGUGAUGGUUCAGGUUUAUCUAUCACUCAUACAGGCUCUACCUCUAUUGCGCCUUCAUUCCAUUUAUCCAAUAUUUUAUGUGUACCAUCUAUUAAACAAAAUCUUAUAUCAGUUGCCAAGUUUUUCCGUUUCAAUAACACUUCUAUUGAAUUCUUUCCAUAUUACUUUGCUGUAAAGGAUUUGCGUACGGGGACAUCUCUGCUCCACGGAAGGAAUCGGCAUGACCUCUAUGAGUGGCCGACAACGACGGACGCAACCACCAGCCCUUCUAAGGCUCUAUCGACUGGCAUUACCUCUUCGACUUCUCCAACAGUCUGGCACGGGCGUCUUGGCCAUCCGUCCCUCCCCAUAAUAAAGUCCCUAGCUACCUCUGGUCUCCUAUCCAUCUCUUCAUCUAUGCCAUUAUCUUUUCAUUGUGAGUCAUGUCUUUGUAAUAAAAGCCAACGAUUACCGUUUGGUGAGUCAACUUUAACUAGCAGUGGUCCUCUUGAUCUUAUUUAUACUGAUGUUUGGAGUCCUUCUCCCAUUCCUUCUGUUGAUGGUUUCUUUUAUUACGUUAUCUUUGUCGAUCACUAUACCACGUAUAUUUGGUUUUAUCCGUUGCGUCUUAAAUCCGUUUUCUAUUUUUCGCAAAUAUAAAAUGCUUGUUGAAAAAUAUUUCAAACGGAGUAUUUCCACCAUCUAUUCUGAUGGGGGUGGUGAAUAUACAACGUUGAAAUCCUUUUUAUCCAAUGAAGGAAUUCAAUACUUAAAAACACCACAUCACACUCCCCAACAUAAUGGUAUAGCUGAACGUCGUCAUAAACAUAUUGUUCAGGCGGGCCUCACUCUCCUCCACCAAGCCAAAAUGCCACAGAAUUAUUGGUCAUAUGCCUUCCAAACAGCAGUUUACCUCAUUAAUCGGCUCCCUACACCUAUUCUUAAUUUAUCCACACCAUAUGAAAAAUUAUUCUCACAUAAGCCAAAUUAUAAUAAGUUGAAGGUCUUUGGUUGUCUGUGUUUUCCUUGGCUAAAACUGUACACCUCGAACAAACUAGAGCCGACCUCCACUCCGUGCUCGUUUAUCGGCUACUCCCUUAAUCAAAGUGCCUAUUAUUGCUUAGAUAUGAAAAGCAAUAAAAUCUACACCUCUCGUCAUGUUCGAUUUAUUGAGUCUAAAUUCCCUUUCUCCAAUUAUGUCUCUUCUACCCAAAUAUUUCCCUCGGUCUCGAGUCCCUGGCCAUCUUUUAUCGCACCAAUUCUGCCGGUACAGCCAGCUGCAACUGACAUUGAUUCUCAGUAACUCAUAGAUGUCAUGCAAACUCUCUCCGUGAGCUCAGGUACUUCUACCUCUUCCUCUUUACAGCAACAUCAUUCUCCCUCACCACCCCUUGACCCGCCUACUACAUCCACAUCUCAUCCCAUGAUUACACGAUCUAAAAAUAACAUAUUCAAACCAAAACGUAUUCUUCAAAUUUCUACCAGACACCCGCUUCCGGAUUCCAUUGAACACACAUGUCUGACCCAAGCAAUGAAGCAAGUUGAGUGGCGGUAGGCCAUGUCGGAUGAGUAAAAUGCUCUCAUUCGCAAUGGGACGUGGGAGCUUGUCCCUCCAUUUACGUCUCAAAAUGUUGUCGGUUGCAAAUGGGUUUUUCGCAUCAAACGCAAUCCGGACAACUCUAUCUCUAAGUAUAAAGCUCUUCUUGUGGCUAAGGGAUUUCAUCAACGUCCGGGUCUUGAUUUUCAUGAGACGUUCAGCCCCGUUGUCAAGCUCACGACAAUUCGAGUUAUUAUUUCAAUAGCAUUAUCUAAUAGCUGGCCACUUCGCCAAUUGGAUGUCAAUAAUGCUUUUCUCCACGGGACAUUAUCUGAGGACGUUUAUAUGCAGCAACCCCCGGGGUAUUUUGAUAAAUCUAAUCCGAAUUUUAAGCAAGCUCCGCGCACAUGGUAUAAUGAGUUGAAAGGUUUUUUGCUCUCGUAUGGGUUUCAUAACUCUCACAGUGAUGCCUCUCUCUUUACUUUUCACAAGGAAUCUAUUACUUGUUUUUUCCUCGUUUAUGUUGAUGAUCUGCUAGUGACAGGCAAUUGCAACAAAUUUUUACACACUUUUCUCUCAGCUUUGGGUGCUCGGUUCUCUAUUAAAGACCUUGGGGAUCUUCAUUUUUUUCUCGGCAUUGAAGUAAUACCAACUCCCUCGGGACUUCUUCUUACUCAACACAAAUAUAUUUGCGAUCUCCUUGAGCGAAAUGACAUGGCUGGUGCUAAAGCUUGCACAACACCCAUGUCAUCGAACCAACCACUUCAUCUUCAUGAUGGAUUUCCUGCUGCUGAUGCUACCAAGUACAGACAAGUCAUUGGUGCGCUUCAAUAUCUAUCUCUUACGAGGCCCGACAUAUCAUAUGCGGUGAACAAGUUGGCGCAAUUUAUGCACUCUCCAUCCGAAGCUCAUUGGACAGCAACCAAAAGACUCUUGCGCUACCUUAAAUUCACCAUCCAUCAUGGUCUCUUCGUAAAAAAGAAUCAGCCACUAGCUUUAACCGCCUUCACCGAUGCUGAUUGGGCCGGCAACCGUGAUGAUCGUACAUCAACUUCAGCCUACAUUGUUUAUUUAGGUGGAAAUGUGAUCUCAUGGUGCUCCAAAAAGCAAAAAACGGUUGCUCGAUCGUCUACGGAAGCGGAAUACCGAGCUCUUGCCUCAUGUGCUGCUGAAAUACUCUGGUUAAAAAAAUCUGCUAUUGGAAGUUCAUGCCACACCUACCUCAGUCCCGACGAUCUUUUGCGACAAUAUCAGAGCAACCUAUCUCUCCGUCAACCCGGUGUUGCACUCACGUAUGAAAUAUAUUGCUAUUGACUAUCACUUUGUACAUAAUCACGUUACCAAAGGGUCCUUUACGGUAUCUCACAUUGCUUCCAAAGACCAGCUCGCGGAUGCUCUCAGAAAGCCGUUGUCAUCCUCUCUCUUUGAUCACAUUCGGUCCAAGAUCGGUAUCUCCAAUGGGAGCACCGUCUUGCGGGGGCGUGUUAGAGAUUAUCCCGCAACAAACUCUUCAGUGGUUUACAAUAUGAAAAACUCUAAUCCUAAAAUCUCUCCAACCUAAACAACUCAAACUUAUCUUCUGUAAAUUCUAGUCUAAGUAUUAAUCCUUUGUAUUUGUAUAUAUAUAAGAGACACACGGUGUAAUCAAAGUAUCAAUGAAAUCUUUUUUCUAUGCACCUUUAUUAUUCUUCACCACGAAACGACUACUGCGACUGGAAUCAAGUGGUCCGAUGCGACGGCGUCACCAAUCGCAUCACCAUCUUCAACCUCCUCCUCGCUGAUCUCAACCGUCUGAUUCCGGCCGCCGUUUUCGACCUCGUAUUCCUCGAAGAACUCUACUUCCACGAAACAAAUCUCACUGGCGGAAUCCCAAGCGCUAUCACGAAACUCUCUCAGCUCAAAUACCUAGAUCUGAGCUUGAACCAUCUUUCCGGCACAAUCCCUACAUUCCUCGGCCACCUCAAAAACCUUGUAUCCAUCGAUUUAUCGUACAACAGAUUCACCGGCUCUAUUCCAACAUAUAUUCAAAUUAUUAUUAUUAUUUUUUUUAUUGUGUGUGCAUUAAAAUUAUCAGGGUAUAGCUAAGAGGCUUAUGGAAUCAGCUGCGGAAAAUAGUAUUUUCCGUUAGAUGUGAACGGCGGAUACUUGAUGGAGGGGACCAAAAGUGAAAUUGGACGGAUGAAAAGGUGUAAUUCUCACUAGUUUUCAAAAUUCGAAAUAAAAACAUUGUUAAAAAGUGGGAAUCGACAUAAUUCAAAAUUCAGUUCAAGUUUAAUUUCAACUUGUGUAACACGGAGACUCCAACUUCUCAUUGUUUUUCCGUAUUUUCGAAACGUUUCGUGUCGAAAACUCGAAAACGCCUGCCGGACACCUUACGAGUCAUUUUACAAUUUUUAAAAAGUUAGAAACAUAUUUGAAUAGCUAAUUUUCAAAUAUUUUUUGUUGCUUCUCAAAUUAUUUAUAUGAUUUAAUGAUGAGUUGCAAAUUAAUAAUUGAUAGUAAAAUUUAUUUUCAAUAUAUUUGUAUAAAAAUAUAUAAAAAGAAUUUGUAUAUACAUAAAAAUUUAUAUAUGUUUAUACAGAAUAUCUAUAAAUACACCCCUAUACUUUUAAUAUUUACACGUUUCUCCUAAAUUCACGUUUCCCCAUUUUCGGAAAACCCCGUUUCCCCGUAUCACAGUUUCUGUGUCCGUACCACAUAGAGAGUCCAUAUGCUACCCCUUAUAUAAACCUCAACUAGUGGCAUGCAUUAUAAACUCAUCUCUCUUCUAUCCAAAAAUCAUGGCCACUAUUUCCGGCCAUUCUCUCAUACUUUUGCUAAUUCUCUUCUUCUCCUUCAACUCUUUGGCAUUUUCAAAGAGGUGCCAUGCAAAUGACAAAAAAGCCCUCCUACAAAUCAAGAAAGACCUCAACAAUCCCUAUGAUUUAAUCUCAUGGGAUCCGACCACCGACUGCUGCACCUGGUCCUCGGUGGACUGCGACGACAAAACCAACCGCAUCACCCGAUUCGACACCUCCGCCGCCAAUUUCGGCCUCCCCAUUCCGGCGGCCAUCGGAGACCUCAAGUAUCUCGAAAGCCUCGCUUUCCACAAAGUCAACGUCACCGGUCAAAUCCCGGAAUCCAUAACCAAGCUCACCAACCUCAAAUCUCUCGAUCUCCAGUGGAACUCUCUCACCGGCCCUGUUCCGUCGUUCCUCAGCAAACUCAAGAAGCUGACGUACAUUGGGCUGUCGUUCAACAGCUUCUCCGGCACGAUUCCGGCGUCGCUCUCCCAGCUCCCGAACCUCGGCGGCCUCGGUUUGGACCGGAACAAACUCACCGGCUCAAUCCCGGAAUCUUUCGCCGAUUUCCGGCAGCAGGAUUUCUACCUCUACCUCUCACAUAAUCAGCUGACGGGGAAUAUUCCGGCGAGAUUGGGGCACGCCAACUUCACGUGGAUCGAUGUAUCAAGAAACAGGCUUGAAGGUGACAUAUCGUUCUUGUUCGGGAAGAACAAGAGCUUAAACACCGCCGAUUUUUCGAGGAACAUGUUUCAGUUCGAUUUCUCCAAGGUGGAGUUUUCGGAGAGCUUGAGGAAUCUGGAUCUGAACCACAACAGGAUUACGGGGAGAUUGCCGGAGGGAUUGGCUAAGAUGGGUGAUCUUAUUUCUCUGAACGUGAGUUACAAUCGGCUUUGCGGCAAGAUUCCGGUGGGCGGGAGUUUGCAGAGGUUUGAAACGACGUCGUAUUUCCACAACAAGUGCUUGUGUGGUGCCCCGUUGCCGAAAUGCAAAUGAUUUUAUUAUUAUUAUUAUUAUGGAAUAUUCCUGCAAAUUAGUAUUAUAUUGCAGAUGCAUUUGCGGCGCUUAAAUUAUUAAUUAAUUGUAAUCUUCAUAACAUGUUAUGAAUUUGAAAUAAAUUUUAAGCCCUUAAAUUAUUAAUUGCAAUCUUAGUGAUAUUAUCAAUCUAAAUUAAAAAUUGGGUAAAAUUCAUUUUACCUACCUGAACUAUACCCAACGUAUAAAAUACAUCCCUGAACUUCAAAAUGUAUCAAACCAGCCCCUCCGUUAAAAAUCCAUCCACCUCUGCUGACAUGGCACAUUGACUUUUAAAAUUAUAUCCAGUGGCAUGACAAGUGGCUUUUUCCGGACAAUUUUACCCCUGCAGUACUUUCAUAUAUGGUCUAAUUAGAGGGGUUUUUGUGAAUCAGUUAAUGCAAUUAAAUAUUUAAUUUUUAUUUUUCCUCAAAUAAAUAAAUAAUUAAAAUAAACUGUGAAUCAAUAUUUAGUUUUUAUUUGUGACUUUUUUUUUUGAGUAAAAAAGUAAAGUAAUCUAAUUAAAUGAAAAAACACAAUAUAAUUAAAAGAAGUCCUAAUCCAAUUAGCUUGGUCAGACCCUCCUAAUGGACUCAUCUCCUUCGCAGCUGCACCAUAUCACGACCCAAUUUGAAUUCUUCAAGAUUCAAAUUCCUGGAGAACACAAGAAACGAAUUCGGAGGAAAACCAAAGAGAAACCCAAUACAAAUCCCUUUUAAAAAGGUCACAAAAUCAGAAAUUGGGGCACACAAGAAACGGGUUGAUGUUUUCGUCGGAUUCCGCCGACAUCUUGGCCGUGUAGGGCGGAGCGAAGUCGGAGCUGCGCUGGUUUCGCAACGAAGAGUUCAAAUUUCUUCUGGAUUUCAUUUUUUUCCGGUCGCCACCGCCAACGGAAACCCAAAUAGGGGUUUGUGAGAAGCUUGACCUCCCGCCGGAAAAACAUGAGCUAAUCCUUAAUUUCAGAUGUGUGAAAGUAGGUUUUAUUGUUUUAUGGGUCAUGGUACUAGAGAGAGAAGAGGAACAAUGGUGAUGUGUUUGAUGAACAUCACUUCUGUAGAAAGAAAGAAAAGGGACGAAGAAGAAAGAAAGAAAAUGAAGGAUGAGGGAGAAAAAGUUGGAGAGAUAAUAUGACUGGACAAAAAUGUAAAAACACAUAAAAAACUAACGGAGUUAAAAAUUGUAACGGUUUUAACGUUGACUCAAAAUUCAGAGGGACUAUCUUGGUUCAUUUCAAAGUUCAGGGGGGGUAUUUUAUACGUUGGAUAUAGUUCAGGUAGGUAAAAUGAACUUUACCCUUAAAAAUUUAAAGUACACGUGAAAUAAUAAAAAGAUUUGCAUGUAUUAUUGCAUUAUGGCACGUGAAACUAACCCUAAGAUAUUUUUGUAAUAUUAUUUUAAAAAAGUUUUUCUUUCAUUUUUUUAUAUUCCACCUAAUCAUAUUUUUUUGGGUAAGUUACAACUAUACCUGAGGUAUGGUUAAAUUAUAAGAAACACCCUCUUGUUUGGGUAUUUACAACCACCCCUUCAACUAUAAAUCUUCUUAUACGUCCACCCCUGCGGUUUCAAAUUUAGUGAAAUCUUCAAGAUUAUAUGGAAUAUUAUCUUCGAGGUGUAAGAAAAAAUCAUAGUUGAGGGGAGUAGAUGUAAUUAUCCAAACAAGAGAGGUUUUUUCAUAAAUUGACCAUACCUCAGGGGUGUUUGUAAUUUACCCUAUUUUUUUUUUAUAUAUCUACAACAACUUAUUUUAUCCCACAAAAAUCUCUCAAUUAAUUUACUAACACUUCACUUUUUUGUUAAUGAAGAAGUAUAAUAUUUAUACUUUCUUUCACGACAUCUUUUGAAUUAUUAUUUUUGUAUGUUUUUUUUUCUCUAUUAAUUCUCUAAUUUUUCACUUUGAAAGCUAUUUUAUGCAUCGUCUCCGGAGAAAAUGCUAGUAAUUGGAGACCCAAUACAUAAGCCAAAUUUAAUAAUGGGGCCCAUCAAAUAUCUAAUCUCAUGUAUAUAAAUUCCCAUAAUUAAAUGUAAACAUAUUGUAACUUUGACUAUUAGUCCUCUUAAAAUAGAAACACUUUGACAGUUUGACUAGUGAAAGCAAAAAGAUAUUUUUAUCAAAAUUUAUUUGGACCAUACAUUCUCAAUCCACGUGAAUUGCAUAAAGUUUCUUUCUUGUACUCAAAUAAUGAGUGGGGCAAUAUAUCUGCAUGCUUCACUGAUUGAAAAUAUUAUUUUUUUAUUCUUUCCACGUGACAUAUUUUUAUGUACAUCAAAUUCAAAUUCGAAUUGGAAAUGGGGUCACACAUUUGGCAACACAAACCAAAAGUAGGAUAAGAUCAAUUUUGCAAUUUGCAUAGUGGAUGGUCCUUUUACUUAGUUAUUUCUAUGUUACACCCGAUGAAGACUACAUUGAGUGUCUUUUAUCGUUGAUUUAAACAUACUAAUACGAGUGUGUGUGAUUUCUGUCUCAGAGGGUUCUCAGAUGAAUUACCUUGUGCAAGAGGAGCUUUCCCAUUACUUCCAUUGACUGCUUUCACCAAUUCUCCAACUAAUUUGGUCAGAUCUUCAAUUUUUUGAUUAGUCUCUACUCUGUUUCUAGUCAUUUAUGUGUGCAAAUUUGACAACAUCUCUCCUAUUUCACUCUGUAUCUUUUUGUUGAAUGCUAAUUGCUCAUCCAGAUAGACUUCUGCAUCAAAUCUGGUGUUGUCUCCAGAUCCCGUUCUGACAUGACUCCUUGUCAUCAUUCCUAGCUCCUCGCCAGAAACGAUGGCUCUAGAUACCAAUUGUUAUGAUUUCUUCCUCUUGAUGAAUCAUGAAGCUUGAAAUUUACCUGCAAAUGUGAAAUAUGAUGGAUAUGAUAGGGUGAGAAGAAUGAUACUGGCGGCGGUUCUUUAGGCUUAGGUAGAGAUUUCUAGCAAAAGAAACUACACUAUAUUAACCUAAAAGUUACCAGCAAAUUGACGAAAAAAUGGCAGGCUCCUCUCUUGUCUUUUUAUACUGCAAAAGCAGGUGAGAAGAGAGGGGUUCAGGAGUGCUCCUCCUCAUGCAAAGUUGGUGAGCUGCCUCGGUGUAUGAAACGGUGCCGUUUCCCCAUUAUUCAAGCUGAAGUAAUAAAACGUGAAAUAAUAUAAAACGUGUCCACGCUUCUAUGAGUUGAACGACGUCGUUUAUUCCUACGGUAAUUCAAAAUACCGUUUAUUCUGUUACAACGUGUUAUUAUUCUGAUACAAGGUACCUCCGGAGGCGCCAGUAGUGUCGUGAAUUGUCAUUGGAUGAGGAUCAUACAUUAUAGGCAGAUUGAAAUCGGUGGAAAUGCUGCCUUUGUCGGAAUCUACGGCACCGCCUCCUCCACUUAAUAUACGUUGCUAAUUAAUCACCUAUUCUACCACUUAAUCAGUACGUAAUUCAUAGUACGCAAUAAUUUUGAUGUAUUUCAUUACUUAACUCAGGAAUUUCUAGAGAAAGAUGUCGGACGAUAUUCAAACGUAACUUUCAAAGACAAUCCUCAAAUUAUUUACAUCGAUUUAAUGACCAGUUGCAAAUUAAUAAUUUAUAGUAAAAUUUAUUUUCAAUAUAUUUGUAUAAAAAUAUAUAAAAAGAAUUUAUAUAUACAUAAAAAUUUAUAAAUGUUUAUACAGAAUAUUUACACUUUCCCCUAAGUUCACGUAUCCCCAUUUUCGAAAAACCCCGUUUCCGCGUAUCACCGUUUCUGUAUCCGUACUACAUAGACAGUCCAUAUCCUACCCCUUAUAUAAACCUCAACUAGUGGCAUGCAUUAUACACUCAUCUCUCUUCUAUCCAAAAAUCAUGGCCACUAUCUCCGGCCAUUGUCUCAUACUUUUGCUAAUUCUCUUCUUCUUCUCCUUCAACUCUUUGGCAUUUUCAAAGAAAUGCCAUCCAAAUGACAAAAAAGCCCUCCUACAAAUCAAGAAAGACCUCAACAAUCCCUACGAGUUAAUCUCAUGGAAUCCGACCACCGACUGCUGCACCUGGUCCAUGGUGGACUGCGACGAAAAAACCAACCGCAUCACCCGAUUCGACACCUCCGACGCCAAUUUCGGCCUCCCCAUUCCGGCGGCCAUCGGAGACCUCAAGUAUCUCGAAAACCUCGCCUUCCACAAAGUCAACGCCACCGGUCAAAUCCCGGAAUCCAUAACCAAACUCACCAACCUCAAAUUUCUCGAUCUCCGGUGGAACUCUCUCACCGGCCCUGUUCCGUCGUUCCUCAGCAAACUCAAGAAGCUGACGUACAUUGGGCUGUCGUUCAACAGCUUCUCCGGCACGAUUCCGGCGUCGCUCUCCCAGCUCCCGAACCUCGGCGGCCUCCGUUUGGACCGGAACAAACUCACCGGCUCAAUCCCGGAAUCUUUCGCCGAUUUCCGGCAGCAGGAUUUCUACCUCUACCUCUCACACAAUCAGCUGACGGGGAAUAUUCCGGCGAGAUUGGGGCACGCUAACUUCACGUGGAUCGACGUAUCAAGAAACAGGCUUGAAGGUGACAUA